This 57594-nucleotide long non-coding RNA is filed under the name Sorghum bicolor (sorghum). RNAcentral's name for it is "long non-coding RNA (SBIC_LNC004107)". Lineage: Eukaryota; Viridiplantae; Streptophyta; Magnoliopsida; Poales; Poaceae. The record is from RNAcentral.
CGUUCAAUCUUUUUCAUGUAUUUUUUUUUACAAAUUUUUUUAGAUAAAGGAUAUAAAAGCCGGCUUCAUCUAUCCAAAGAUAGAAUCAGACUAAUUAUUGCAACAUCUAGCAAAGGGGCAAAGUUUGCUGUAACCACGUAUAGCCCCACACACACGGCUACUGGGACAAAAAGUUAUUUUUCUAAACAAAACCAACAUGUCUUUGCGAGAGCCAUCCGUUGGAACCGAAAAAAUCUAAAGUUGACGUCUCCAGAUGCUCUUAACUGCAGAAACUAGUUGAUCCUUAAGAUUAUCAUGCCGUUGCAGACUUGUCCAUUGACGUAGCCAGUGAGUCCCUCAGAAAAGUACCUGCAAAAGAGAUUUUGGUUUGUGUUUAUCAAAAACUAUUUCAUUCCUUGUUAGCCAAACUGCCCAUAAUAAAGCAGAUGCUGCUGUUAAUAACAAUGUAUUAUACUUUUUGUUGCCCACCUUGGACCAAUUUUCAAACAGAUCAUCUAUACUUGUAGGUGGUAAAAUUCUAAAAAGUAAAUGAAUCGAGCGCCACAAAAACUUGGCAUAAAAAGCACUCAAAGAAUAGAUGUUGAUUGACUCUGGUAAGUGACAGAAACAACAUAACUUGUCUCCAUGCCAAUUCCUACGAGCUAGGUUGUCUUUCGUAAGAGUGACACCCCUCUUCAAGUAACACAAAAAGAUUUUUAUUUUCAUUGGUAGUUUUAUUUGCCAAAUAUUUUGUGACAAUUUGACCCCAUUGUUAAUUAAAGCAGCAUACAUAGAUCUUACUGUGAACGUUUAGAAGCCUUUAAACCCCAAAUGAAAGUAUCCCGUUCCUCAACUAAGUUAACUUGUUGCAAAGAAGCGACAAUACGCUGCCAAUUGGCUAGGUUUGUACCCACUAAAUUCCUUUGAAAAGUGACAUUUAGUAUGGGAGAACUCUGACGCAAUAGAGUCUUGCUUCCUUCUUACAAUAUUAAACAAAGAAGUAAGAAGGGAGUUGAGGUCGUGCGCCAGCUUGGUUAGCACGGUCGUGCGGCGGCUGUGGCUGUAGUAGGCCUGCAGGCUGCAAAGACUUCAUCGCGUGGGCCGUGGGCCUGGGAAGGCUGUAGAGCAGCCGCACGCUACAAGUCCACUAGCGGCAGCGCCGUUAUCCGUUCAAUCUUUUUCAUGUAUUUUUUUUUUACAAAUAUACACACAUAUAGAGAGAGAGGUUGUCUUUCUCGGUCCUUCACACUAAAGGUUUAACUUGAGAUAACUCUAAAAAAUAAUUUAUUUAGGAAGUGUUACAUUACUGUUUUGUAUGCUUGAAACUAACUUUUCUAUUAUCUUAAUUAGGCUCGUAAAUCAACAUCCAACUGCGUGCAAAAUUGAGUUGUUAUUGUUAAUCGAACUGGCUAGCUUUGGUUGUGUUUGCAUAAUAAGUUAGUUUCAACUUUCAAGUACCAUCUCUGUACAAAAAAAAUCUAGUGUAGUGUCAUGUUUUAGUAUCUUAAGUUUGACCAAUUAUAUAAAUAAAAAAUCACUACUGCAAUAAUAUUUAUGGCGACGGGCAAAAAUAAUUAAUCGAGUCGGUUUUCGCAACCGCCUCGUAUCAAAGGUCACGAUAAAUAACCUAUUUUUCGAGAUGGUUUUCUGCCCGUCUCGGUUAAUCAAAUUAAAAAACAAAAAAAAGAAAACCCAUUCCCAGCCGUAAACGGGUCUGGAUCUGGGCCGCUGCCGCCGGAGGAGCAACCGCACCAUGUGCCCCCAUGGAUCCGCCCUGCUCCUGCACGGCGUAGUCAUGGUCGUUGGUGGUCGGAGAAGCUUGCCGCCGCUCCGUGAGGACUUGAUCUGGUUGGGAUUUCGCCCAAUCCUCUGCUCUGCCACGCCGCACCCGCACCGCCACUCCAUGUCCGUGUUGCCGCUCCGCCGCGGCACGCCCACGCCGCCACUUCACCAUGCCACACCUGCUCCGUCGCGGCACGCUCGCGCCACUGCGCCGGGCACGCUCUGCCAUGGCACGCCCGCGCCACCGCUCCACUUGGGAAGGGGGGAGGGGAGGGGGAGUGGAGGAGGAGGGCGCCGGAUGGGAAGGGGAUCCCGGGAGGGGAGGGGAGGGGAGGAGGAGAGCGCUCAGGUGUCAGGAUUUUUGGGCGAGAGAGAGGAGCGUGGUAGAGGACUGCGGGUGCGGCUCGGGAGUGAGGAACUGAAGCUGAAACCCUAGGUCUGGUAUAUAUAUGUGAGCUUACGGUUGAGUCUUUUUUUCUGGCGGGCUGGGCCUAAUUUACCGAGGCGGUUGGAGUUAUAAUGGCCGCCUCGGUUAAUUAUUUACUGAGACGGUUAUGUUAGGAUGCCCGCCUCGGUUAAUAUAUAUUAACCGUGGCGGGCAAUUUAAGGUUGUCCGUCUCGGUUAAUCAAUUUUGUGAGGCGGUUUUUUUAUAACCACCUCGAUUAAUAAAAAAAUGACCGCCUCCGUUAAUGCUAAGCAUUACCCGAGACGGUUGAAAUUCGUGCCCACCUCGGUGAGUGUUUUCAAAAGGUCACGGUAAAUCUUUUUUUAGUAGUGAAUAUCUUAUAAUGAUAUCAAAUAAAUAUCAUUAAAUUAAUUACGAAUUGUGUUAUCAUAAUAAAUAAUUUGUAGUAAAAAUAUGAAUAUCAUUUGCUAUAAGUCUGAUCACACAUAAAUUAUUUUAAUCUAUAAUUACAUUUUUUUUAGGACAGAUAGGUACUCUCAACUCUUUCAUUCAAAUAAAAAAUAAUGAUAUUGUAUUUUUUAAAGAGAGUGGGCUGGGCAGAAGGUUCCAUCGAGUGCCACGGCCAUUACUCACACGCCACCUCGUUAUGUGCACCAUUCCUAAACUAUUCCUAGAGCUCGAUCUCAUAAACUAUUCCUUUGGAAAUUGGAAAUAAGAAACAAUAAUCUACGCUUGCAGUACGUACUAGUGUUUGCUAUUCUAGCAUUCGUCUUGCCAAUUGCCAUAGGCAUUUGAAGCUACUAUACAGCGAGCGAGGCGCCUGGUGUCUGGCGGCUGUGCGCCUGUGCCGUGGUUGACGCGAGGAGCAAUGGAGGGCGGCGGUGGGAAGUUAGCAUACAGCUACGGCGGCGUGGAGCCCCGCAAGUUCGGGCUCGGCCUUGUCGCCGGCCUCCUCCUCGUAUCCUGCGCCUACUUCUCCACCGUCAAGCUCGACGCCGUCCACCUCGUCAUGAGCAAGCAACCGUUUCAACCACAAGCAUGUAAGAAUCCAUUCAGAGUUUCAGACCGAGUUUUCUCACUAUCUGCUGAACUCAUCCGAGAGUUUGACGACCCGGCUUGCUCUUCAUUUCCAACGAUUUAGAUUCAGGCCUGCAAGAUCAAGGUUCAUGGUCGUCGUCGAAGGAGGGGAGCAAGGCAGAGGUGCUCGAGAAAGACGAUGGCGACGGCAGCAACGGCAUUUCCUCUUUCGGGCAAGGUGAGUCAGGCAAGCAUCCAUUUGGAGGUUUCAUUAUGCCAUUCCAUGGGGACCGAGGAGCUGACCUCGUGUUUUGGUACUUUCGCUGGUUUGCAACUUUUGCACGCAAGUUCCUGUAAGCUCGCUCGAGGAAAACCAGAAAGAUGAGACGUUUGCGAGGAAUAAUGGUGGUGUUGUUGUCUCUGCGGCCUCACCAGAUCCAGCAGCGGAUGGUGGCAAGGAUGAGGUUCCUGAGAAGGAUGAUGACCCAAGUGCCGCUGCUGCUCUUCCUCCCUUGUCAACAGAUUCCUCAGACAGCACGCAAGAAUCAUCAGGUCAGGAAGCGGCCAGCUUGAACUAACCCAAAGCGAGCUUUCCAGGGUAAGUUUGUUAUUUUAAUCAAAGACCUUACUUUGUUCUUACUUUCCUGGCCAGGUGUUCUUGAAGAUCAGGAAUUACAGGUGCAGAAUGCCGUUGCAGCAGCUGCUAAUCCACCCAAGGAAAGCAAUAGUAUCCGCAGCAACGACAACGGCAGCUCCUCUGAAAUUCCGUCUGAUCCAGCUGAAAUCCCUGUUCCUGCUCCCUCUCCAGAAAUUGAGCCCCCUUCUUCUGCUAACGAGAUUUCUGCUGAUUCUUCGGAGCUUAAGGCGGCCCCUCCAUUUCAGAUGACUCCAUCUAUUCCUGAGGUCAAGCAAACAGGUAAAUGAUUCUUCUUAUUAAAAGGUUCCAUUUUUUCCUCUGGCAGAUAAUUUAGUAACCAUUUUGUAUUUUUUAUUAACCAUUUUGCAUUUGGAGCCAUCUUGGAUUCUAGCUAGCCUGGCCAAAUUUUAGCCUCCCUAAAAGAAUCGCCACCAUUUCCCACACAAGAAGUUUCGUUUUGCGUUUUACCUGGACCAGCCGGCAAAAUCCAUGUAAGACCAUAACUGAACAAAGCAUUUAUUUAAUCUAAUGGUUGCAAGACUUGGAGGCGCCAGUGCGUGAGUGGAAGCCACUGUGCGACCUGACGUCGAACUAUCGCAUCGACUGGUGCGAGCUCGAGGGCGACGUCCGCGUGGUCGGCUCCAACGGCAGCGUCACCCUGGUGGCGCCCCCUGGUGCCGAUGCCGACAACCACACCUUCCACGAGGAGUCAUGGAGCAUCAAGCCGUACCCGCGCAAGGUGGACCCGAACGCCAUGCACAGCGUCCGCGCGCUGACGGUGCGGUCGGUCGUCGCCAUGGCCACCGCCACCGACGCGGCGCCGCCGCCGGCGUGCAUGGACUGGCACGACGUGCCGGCGCUGGUGUUCUCGGUGCGCGGGUACACGGGCAACUACUUCCACGCGUACACCGACGUGAUCCUGCCGCUGUUCCUGACGGCGCGGCAGUACUCCGGCGAGGUUCUGCUGCUGGUGACGGGCUUCCAGGCGUGGUGGGUGGGCAAGUACCUGCCGGUGUUCAGGAGCCUCUCCAAGUACGCGGCGGUGGACCUGGACAGCGACCCGCGCGUGCACUGCUUCCGCCGCGUCCAGGUCGGGCUCACCAGCCACCACGACUUCAGCAUCGACCCGCGCCGCGCGCCCAACGGCUACUCCAUGCUCGACUUCGCCCAGUUCAUGCGCGCCACCUACGCGCUCCCGCGCGACGUCGCCCUCUCCCCCUCCCCCUCGCCGGAGCGUCGACGGCGGCGCCCACGGCUCCUGGUGAUCGCGCGCGCGCGGACGCGGCGGUUCCUGAACACGGAGGAGAUCGUGCGGGGCGCGCGGAAGGUGGGGUUCGAGGUGGUGGUGUCGGAGGGGACGCACGAGGUGGCGCCAUUCGCGGAGCUGGUGAACACGUGCGACGCGGUGGUGGGCGUGCACGGCGCCGGGCUGACCAACAUGGUGUUCCUGCCCCGGGGCGGGGUGGUGGUGCAGGUGCUGCCGCUGGGGCCGCUGGAGUUCGUGGCCAGCUACUUCCGGGGCCCCGCCGGGGACAUGGGGCUCACCUACCUCGAGUACCGGAUCUCGCCGGAGGAGAGCACGCUGGUGGACCAGUACCCGCGCGACCACCCCGUGCUCACGGACCCCAUGAGCUUGAGCAGCAAGGCCAAGGACUGGGUGUCCUUCAUGGGGGUCUACCUCUUCAAGCAGGACGUCCGCCUCGACAUGAAGCGCUUCCGGCCCGUACUCAAGAAGGCACUCGCGCGGCUUAGGGCCAAACCCAAGAAUAACAACAACUAAUCACCUCGUCGUCUCGUUGUAGUUUUGGUACCUCUGAUCCUGCUGUAAAUCUUUGGACAGAGAGCUUUUUUUUUUACUUGUACUAUAGUUUUAUAUCGGCCUCUUUUAUAUUAUUACUAUAAAAAAUUCUUCUCCGUCAUUGAGCCGAUUGAGGUAGCCGCACAUUUUUACCGUCUCUGGCACGUUGUCAUGUGAUUAUGUAUAUGAUACGACGUACCCCAGUAUAAUUAAGAAGCGCAGCUAGGUCAACUUCCUACAUGCUGCGUAUUCUAUCGCGUGGCAAGGUAGGCGUUGUUGUUUAGCUGAAAAACUAGGCUGUUCACUGUACAAUUACUGUGCAGGAAACUUCUAGUGGCCGCCAUCGAUCUGCAUUGCCACUACAAAGGAACAUGGGAUAGCGGCACAGCGCUAGUUCUGGAGAUUUGUCGGCACGUUGACCGUGAUUAGGGUCUAGGGAUGCACGGCCUCGAUAGCUAGUUGGUUUGAAGGAACCAGUCGAUCUAUUGACUCAGAAGUAUCUCGAUCGUGCGCCCAAAUGUUGAGCUCUCAGGCUCUCUGGAGUAGAUUAGGGCCUGUUUAGAUUGGGAACGAAAAUUUUUUAGUGUCACAUCGGAUGUGUCGGAAGCAUGUCGGGAGGGGUUUUUAGAAACUAAUAAAAAACAAAUUACAUAGCUCGUCAGGAAACUGCAAGACAAAUUUAUUAAGCAUAAUUAAUCUGUCAUUAGCAUAUGUGGGUUACUGUAGCACUUAAGGCUAAUCAUGGAGUAACUAGGCUUAAAAGAUUCGUCUCGCGAUUCUCAACUAAACUGUGUAAUUAGUUUAUUUUUUUAUCUACAUUUAAUAUUCCAUGCAUGUGUCCAAAGAUUCGAUGGGAUGGAUGAAAAAUUUUUGGGUGGAUAACUAAACAGGGCCUUAUUCGAGGAAUCAUCGCAUGGACAAGCAUAUGUAAGUUGGAUUCUCUCGAUCUACCCGCUUUUGUAAUAUGUUAUAUGUGUACUCCAUUCGAUCUAAAAUAUACUCCCGUCCCUAAAUAGAUCACCUCUUACAGUUAUCUUAAGUUAAACUUUUAUAAAAGUUCAACUAAAUCUAUAGAAAAAAAAUUGCUAUGAUUUAAAACAUCAAUUUAGUAUCAUAACAUGCUCGUUUGGUGUUGUAAAUAUUCAUGUUUUUUCUAUAAAUUCAGUUAAAAUAAAAGGUUGAGUUAAGGCAAAUCUAGAAAUGGUUUUAUUUAUGGGGAUGAAGGUAGUAGAUCAUUAUAAUUUUGGUCUAUGUAUUCUGAUAAGUUCAUAGGAAAAAACACCAUCUAUAGUUUUGUUAAUUCAUAAAAAUGGUUUGUUAAGUCCAUCAUAAAAAUAUGUUUGUUUUGUGUGAACUGAUCAUAGAUCAGUUGAUGAGGUUCCUUGUGGUGGAACCUACCCAUCUGAGUUUAAGUCUUUGACUUGGCACGAGUGUUCAUAUUUUCCUGCAUUUAUUUCAGAAUUUAUGGAUGCUAUGAUUUUAGGGGUACACAACGUUCUCGUCGACAGCGAGGCGUCUGUGGUGACUUCGUGAAUCUCGUGAUCUGCCAGCUUAGUCCUUCGGAUGUGUUCAUAGGGGUAGAGUUCACGUAUGUGUGUGUUAUAGGGAUGAGUGUGCGUGCAUUGUGAAUGUCUAUGUUGUACUGUGUAAUUCUCAAAAUAAAUGAGUUUUGAUAGUCCACUUAUUUCAUAUUUAUAUAAACUUGGUUAUAAUUAGAAAAGCUUAGCUUAGGAUAAAACUAAAACAAUAUAAUGUGUAUUUUCAAAAUAGAUUGAGUCACAACCAAAACGUAGAUAUGUUUAGGAAACAGAAAGGCUUGCUUGGUUUGAGUCUGACACUAUACCAUAAAUAGCAAUGGACAAUCCGUUGCUUGAAAAGGGUGUAUAGCAAUGGACAGUACAUUGCUAAAGGCUAUAACGACGGACCGCUGCCGUUGUAAUGAAGUCGUUGUUGUAUGUAUACAACAACGGACACAUGUUAUUUAGCGAUGGACAGUUUGAUGCUCCAAUAUUUCGCAACGGAUAGCCUGUUAGAGCUUUUAGCAACGGACAGUUCAUUGCAAUAAGGACUUUUAGCAACGAAAAGUCCAUCGACCUCAAUUUAAUAGGUAAAAAAAUAAUCCACAUGUAUUUAAAACUAGAGUAAACAUCCAGAUCAAUACAAUAUUGAAUGACAUAUACAAAUGUGCACAUUAAUCAUACUCACAUUCAUGUAUAUCAAAUGAGUACAUGUCACCAACCGGUUGACAUCAAGCAAACAUAGAAGCAUAUAGCUGAAUACAAAAAUAGUUAUUUAAAGGAAAAAUACAAACGGGAUUUCAUUAACUCACUUUUUGUGCACUAUGCCUAAGUGUUGAUGCAAUGUCAAGGUUGGGCCAUGCAAAAUCAAAACUACAGUACAUGCAUCUUCAGACCAGCUACACUUAUCAUUCUCACUUCUCAUGCUCUUGCAACAUGUUGCAUUGAGAUACACUGCUGCAGAAAUCCUCAAGGUUUAUCUGUGAAGCGGCAAAAUUAAGAUGUAAGAAAAUAGGGGAGAAAGUAUAAUAGAAUUGGAGGUUGAAAAUAAAUACUAUAUUUACAGUGCUUGUUCAACAUUGGCAACCACGAAUAGAUCCAUAUCCAUUGAAAUGCAGGGUGUGUUUUCAAACAUUUAAAUCAGUAGUGAAUGUACAUCCUACUUGGUUGGCUAAGAAAAGGAAUUGGGCGGGUACUAUAGGUUUAUCUUUCAAAUAGGUGACAAGAAUUUCAGCGUUAAGAAGCUGACGUUCUUGUUGCCAAGGUUACUCCAACUUUCAAUUAAUCCCCUAUUAAUGGACUGGUUAAUGCAAAUCCAUGACAAACUAUUUUAGCAGGUGCAUUGUUCGCCUAAACGGCCGUUUAGACCGUUUAAGUAAACGCUACACAGUGAUACACCGUUUCCGUUUAAUCAUCAGUUUAGUCCAUUUAAUCGACCGUUUAGCCCGUUUAAUAGACUGUUUAGCUCGAAUAAUGGCUAAACGACAGGUGACCGACUGUUUACCGUUUAGCAUUUUGGAAAACAUUGAGCAAGUAUGUGUUAAGAUUGCAAAAUUCGAUCCAAAACAAAAGGGUGGUCAACUAUUCUAAAUUCAUCGAUGACAACACGAACCCUAAAUAUGCUUAACAUUUCACGGUGUCAAGUUCAAGUACAAUCAACAUAGAACCCUACUAUGCUAAGUAGAUUAAACUCAUUUCUCCCCAGAGUGACAGAAGCAUCAGCGAUUUUGCUUGAUGCCUAGGCCGCCAUAUUGCCAGAUGCCCAUGCUAACCAUGCAAACACUGAGAAAAUAUUCAAUGAAAACUACAUGUUUAAUGAAAACAUGAAAACCAACUCAAAAAACAUAUUUAUAUUACUUGAUAAUUUUUGGAACUCAGCACAUGCACAGUGCAUUUAUAUAAGUACUUACAUGCAAAGUUGGUAUGCAAAAUCACUUUUGAAAAAAUACAUACAAAAAUCGUAAAUUUCAUAUGUCUGUGCACUAGAAUACAAAACUGCAGGAAUUGUCUUCCAUUGCAUAUGUAUCUGAAAUUUGUCAUUUUUAUAUAAUUUUUUCUAGAUGUGUCAUUUGCAUUUUAACUUUUACAUGUGAGUACAUAUAUGAACUAUAGAUGUGCCAACUUCUAAAAAAUGAGUGAUCGAACUAUGUUUCUUGAGUUGAUUUUUAUCUCAAAAUUUAAUGUAGUUUCCACCAUAGUAUUUUUUGUCAAAUUUCAAAAAAAAAAUUGAGUGAUCGAAAUAUGUUUGAGUUAGUUUCUAUAUUUUCAAAGGUUGAUAUAGUUUCAAUCAUGUAUUUUCCACAAAUACAGCCAGGCGCUAGUUUUCCAGAACUCCACUUCCUGAUUCUUGAGCCUCACCCCUUAAUUUUAGAGUUAUGCUGGUGUGGAAGCAAAGUGGGAAGCAGAUGAAGUGAUUCUAGUGGGAUUCUUUUAGCUCUCAACUCGUAGGUUAAAUGGAAAAAUGAUUCUUUUCAGCUUCCUAUUAAAGUCUAGUUUUAUUUUAAUUGUUUAAUAGAGCUCUACAAAAUCCGCUCGAUGAAACUAGGAGCAUGGCUCCAUCAAAACAGACCUAAAUUUAAACUAUAAAACAGACCUAAAACUUUGUCCAUCGCUGCAGUUUCUUGACUAUCUCCAACAAUUGUUACCCAAAAUAUAAUACCCAUUUGUCCUUUGGGUAGCGCUACAGGUAGAAGGUUCCAUACCUAUUUUUAGUCUUCUCCAACAACAAGACCUAAAAGACAACACUCUCUGCAAAUAGGUCUCAAGGAGAGAGGAUACCCAAAUUUGGGUUAUGCCUCUCCUGAUACCCAAAAUGGAUCUUCUGUAUGGGUACCCUGUUUGGGUACUCUGUUGGAGGCUAUAGGUAUUGUGUUGGAGACCCAUUUUGGGUUUGGGUUCCCAAAUGGGUCUCCUCUUGGAGACAGCCUUAUUGGAAACAAAGCCCACUGGGCCUCAUACCGAGUACAAAGUGCUAGUGAAAAUAGCAAUAGUACGCGAAUUGACGUGCGUCUAGAAUGAACAUACAUGGCUAUUCCAUGCCGCCUCUGCUUGUAAACAUUUGUUUCCAGUGAUCCACAUGUUUCAGGGCAGGAAAAUUGGACAGCUCCCACAAUAUAACUAUGAACAACAAGGCAACCAAAUAGUUGAUACUAAUCAUCAUUUUUAUUUCUUUCUAGCGCAUCCAACGUGGAUUGCACUGCAAGGCAUCUUUACAGUAAAUUAUCAAGAUAUGAAAGGAACCAGUUAUUCUUUUAUCAGCCUGAAGCCCUAUACAUUAGUAUAUGAAACCUUUUGCUAACUAAUCAUUUCUUUUCUCGUAUAUUUCUUAGCUGGAGAAAACUUCCCUAAAUUACAGUGUGGUCCACUUACGACAACCCAAAAAUCCUCCUUCCGACCAAAGAUCGACGCGCCAGUUAGCUGAAGAAUCUGCUGUUUACCCCAGCCCUGUACAGCAGCACAGACUCGGGGCCACACGCAGAGAUCUUAACCUCAGUGUAUGCAGGAACGAAGAAAACAUCACCUUCCUUUGCCUUUUCUCCACCUGACAUAGAAUCCAACUGAAUCUCGCCUUCCCCGGUCAUUACGAGAAAUACGGAUGGUCCUGGUACCGGGGAUAUGACAAGCAGUUCACCUGGAGGAACCAAGCAGCAAUCGACCUCAAACUCGUUAAAUGGUGGCGUGUAGCGCCUUACGUGUGGCUGCACAGGAACUCCGCGCAAAAUUUCUGGGAAGGCCUGAAUUAAAAAAAAAAGAGACACAGCAGACCAAUUAAAGAAAAUCACAAAAUCAUGACAGUGGCAUGGAACUAAUUGGUCUCUUGCUAGAUUACUUUGCUUGAUUAGAAAAAUCUAGGUAUCUAGGAUUUUUCACUAACUUUUAACACCAAAGAGAAUAUGAACCUUUGUACUAACUUGUAAGGUUCAUCAUAAGACAAAUGAUCCAUGGAUAACACUUUAACAGUGCACUGAAUUCUGAAGCAUUUGCUCACUGCGAGCAUAGUAAACAAGAGAGAGGUACUUGCCAAGUAAAGAACUUAUGGAACAAGUAAAUAUAAACGAAGAAAUAUACUGUAUAUGAGAAUUGAGAAACAAUAGUAACAAUGACACUCACCUGUUUGUAUGUUAGCAUUGAGCAGAGAGUUUGCACAUCUCUGUAUUUAGGUGUCAAACCAGCACGUACAACGUUGUCUGAAGUGGCCAUAAUUUCAAUGCAUUCCCCAGAGAGGUAUGCAUGCGGUUCAUUUGGACCAAUAUAAAGCGCUUCACCAGGACUGAGCUUCACAUAGUUAAAGAAAAGUGCUGCUAGAACUCCAACAUCGUCUUGAUAUUGUCUCUCCAGGGACAAAACCAGCUGUUCUUUGUCUGUUAAGUUCCUAAUCUGAAUAGAGCAAGACAUUGUUAUUCAAGACACAAUUGAUGGCUUCUGAAUCGUUGUUCAUCAGUUUUUUACAAAAAAAAAAUGCCAAGGUGUGGAUGGUACAUUAGAUGAUAUACUGAUAUAACAUGUUCUUUUUGGAGAGAAAGGAGCCUAUUUGUUCAGUUGCUUAUCAGUUAUCGCCAUUCAGGUAUCUUUUUGAACCAGAAGAAAUUGCACUGGACAUGUACAUUUGAAUUGUUGCAAAUACCAACCUAUACAAAUACCAACCAUACUUCUAAAAUAGGGCACUUUACUACUUAUAGAUUCAAUUUAGUGCAUUAUUGACAUUUGAGAUCUGCUUGUAAAAUUUUGCUGUGCCAAACCCAAAAAAAAAAGGUGAUGAAAUAUCAACUUCAAAAGAUUAGCUGGCCAUAAGACAAAAUAGGAAAUGCAUAGGUGCUCCAGUGCAAAUUUGUCUGUACUGCAACAGAGAAACAAAAAGGAUAAUGCAUGCAUAUAAAAAUGGCAACAUGGGGAGCUUGUAGCAUGGAAACUUUCUAGCUUUCAAUCAUUUACUAUCUGUUAGUAGCAAAUGCUUGCAGUUUCUAGUGUCCCAAAUGAAAAUGAAAACAUUUAAAAUUGGAGGCUUUGUGAUCAACGAUAACCACUUUUUUAGGAAGCAUCGUGCUAGUUAAUAUCUGUUAAUUAGCGUUGCAAGCAACAGAUCACCUUGUAAGCUACGUGCAAGCUUAGCAUUAUCUCAUCUUUACAUUAUCUCCAAAGUUCACACUUAUAGUGUAAUUGUGCACUCAUUUGAGACAACAGCUCUUCCAUGCCUCUUGGGAGUAGUGUUGCAACAAUCCACAAGCCAAAUUUCCUUUGCUUACCAAAAUGAGAAGUCUUAAUUUUCCAAUGAACUUUGCCAAUUCAUCUCCAGGUGAGCUACCAUCUCUCUUACAACUAUAACAAUAAAAAAUGGUUCUAGUCAAUAUUCUUCUGCUCAUCAUGCUCAUUGGUGCACUGGGUAUCCUGAAGGGUACAUAUCUUUUUUUUUCUUUUUGAACACAAUGAAGGGUGCAUAUCUAGUCUAUCUCAAACCUUGUACAUACCAAUCCCAACAUACAACCCUCUGUGUUGUCCAACUAUAAUAUCUAUAAUGAUUACCUUCUCCUUAACCAUCCAUAAGCUGCAGCAAGCCACAGAUCAGACAUCUCAAGGUAUGACCUCACCUACAGGACCAUUUCAGAAAUGGGAAAGCAUUGGAGCAAGCAAACACUAGAAGUAUUUAAGGGGCUAAUAUGUUUAAUUGUUUUUUACUAUGUUGCAAUCUCUAUAGCUUAAUAGCUCUAGAGUGGUAUAGAAACCAAGGAACCAGACCCAACAUAUCUAAAAAACUUUUUCAUCAUUUAAAAAGAUAAGAUCUUUUCAAGGCACAUGGCUCAAGAAAAAGUAAGUCCUAUCAUAAACGAAGAACCAGAGAGACAAAUUUGGUAGCAACAUCCAGGAUGUGAGUUUUUUUGGCUUGUGUUGAGUUAGGCGUCAAAUGUAGCCUGCUACCAUGACCUCUACACAGCUCGAGUCCGAAAUGUUUCCCAAGGGUGGGGGAGUGUUAUGGGGUUCAGCUAAGGUACCUAGGGCCCAUAGGAUUAAUUUAGAGGGAUUGGACCAACUAGAGAUAUGAUUAGAUAUGGGUGAAUUAUAGAUAGGAUUAGAUAUGUUUUGUUAGGAUUUGAUUGGACCUUCCUUAGGUGGUCAGAAAUCCUCUACAUAUAAAGGGAGGUGAUGUAUUAGGGAAGCAAGAAAUGCAGAAGAAUUAAUCACCAAGUCCCCAAUACUCUAGUCCCCCUCCAAGCCGACUUUGCCCAGCUAUUUUCCUGGCAAUGUUUACCAUAAUGAUCUAAGGAUCAUAACCUAGUUCUAGAGUGGUAUAAAAACCAAGAAACUAGACGCCGCAUAUCCUAAACAACUUUUUCAUCAUUUUCAAAAAUAAGAUCUUCUCAAGGCAAACGUCUUAAGAAAAAAGUAAGUCCAUCAUAAAUAAACAACCAGAGAUUGAAAUUUGAUAGCAACAUUCAGGAUCUGACAAUAAAAUGUAUUAGUUAUUAUAACUGAUGUCACAACAAAGAACAAACUGUAGAAGCUCGUAGCAAUUAUAGGCCAAGAUUAUCUCUCACCUUGCUGUCAGUAUUCAGGCGACUGAUCAGUUUUGCAACUGCUUCAGAAACCAUGUCUUUACUUGCUGUCAUUAGCUUAGCAAAAGCUGAUCGCAAACUGGACUUUACUUCACUAACCCCAUCAUACUCCUUCAUGUUCAUCAGCUUGCCAGUAUCUUCAUGCCCAAUUAGGCCUUCAAUUUCAGGAACUGUCCUCAGGACAUCCUUGAGCUCCUUCAGAAUGGUAAAAAUGAUAUGUUAUUUUAGAUGUAACUGUUUGUGUUUUCCAGACUAGAAGGUCAAAUAAAAUAGAACGUGUUUCCUCUUUAAGAAAGAUCAAUAAAAAACAAAAGGAGUGAGCAUAAAAUGGUCGCUCUAUAACGAAUAAGCUUGUUGCAGCUGGCUCUUUUCCUGGUAUAAUCAAUCACUUAUAGGAUAUAUUUAAUCUAGUAUUCAUUAAAAAAACAUUCACAAUGGACUACGAAAUGAAAGAUAUUCAACACCUGAUGAUAAUGACGAUAAGAUAAAUUUUCUUUUGCAAAGCAUAAAAAACAGAGCUAUGAGAAAACCAAAUAUUAUGUAAUGAUGACAAGAUUCCUAAAUGACCCUGCCUGUAUUCUCUACAGUUUAAAUUUACACUCAUGGCCUCCAGCCCUACACUGAAAUAAUAAAAACUGUGCCCCAGGGCUGGCUGCUUUUCAAUAGAGCAUGCAUGUUUGCGCAAAGUGACGGCAGGUAGUGAAUGAAUGUAUAUAGGUACAAAGAACCAAAGCUCAAUUUUAUGGUUCAUGCCUAUAAGUACUUUUAUGGUUUAUCUCAGAAAAAGCUCAAUUUUGUUAUUCCUUAGUACAGUCAACUUUUAGACAAAAGUACAGGGGAGGGCAGCUAUUACCUGUCAACAUAUUUUAUCUCUAAAUCAUUCGCUUUUUUCUAACUGCUGGAUUGAAACUGAGCAGUCCUUAUUCGCACAUUUCUCCUUAUUCUACCAUGCUUUCCUGCAACAUGUAUUUAGUUUCUCUACUUCGAACAUUGUUUCUCUUAGACUGGAACAUUACAGAUGGGCCAAAAAAACUUUCAUCAAAUAAAUAGAAUUUCUCAAAUAAAAAGUAGCAUUUUGUCCAAUAUUUUUCCCGUCUAGCAACGACAUGUCCAAAUAUAUAUCAUAAAAAUGUGAUUUCAGAAGAAGACAAAAAAAAUAUGACUGUUGUCCUGCAAAUUAUGCCAUGACAGUUACGUGGGAUAAUCCUAAGAAGUUAGUUCCAUGUCAAUCUGCUUUUCCAACUUGAGAAAGCCGACAAAAUUGACAUAUCGGUGCACAUUAUUUGUUUCAAUCAUUUGUUUCAUUUCAUUAUUUGUUUCAUUUCUUUCCUAUAACCCAUUAAACAAAUUUUCUUGUGUCAGCUACUCACCAGAAAUUUUCUUAUGUCCAGUACUAGCAACUUAAGGUAUCAGAAUUAUUGUUACAGCUGCACAUCAAGAAUACAUAUACCAAACCAUAACGUCUCCUAACUAAUUUAUUCACGAGACCUCAAAUUAUAGACUUCCUUUAUCUUAGGUCUCAGGCUCUCAGCCAACCAAACAUCAAACAGAGAGAAAGAAAUCAUUACAGUUAAGCAGAUCAAAACCAAGCGCGUUGUAGGCUUAGGCAGUUGUAGGUUUUUAGAAUAACAAGUUGGUGCCAAAUUAGUUGGUGCCAAAUUUGAAGAAGCAAACACGUACUUUCCUUUCGUAUUUUCAUGUGCAUUUGAACUUGCUAGCCGAUGGUUCAACGACAAACAGUUGGCUGAGAAAACAAAUAAAGAAAAACUCGGCGACCAAGAGCAGGAAAAAAAAACGGUUACCUCAAUAGGGGCAAAGCCGCAAAGCGCCCGGAACUCCGUGAAGGCGAUGGCCAUCUCCGGCUUGUGAUUGUCGUCCUUGUAGGUGGACGGCCGCAGCGCGUGCAGCACCUCGGCGAGUUUCUUGUCCGGGUGCGCCUGGAUCGAGAGCGCUUUGGCCACCGACAGCACCUGCAACCGCAAACGGGUAGCCGAGUCAACCAGCCAGCGUUCGAGACGGCAAUAAGAACGCGAAGCAAGCAACGACCCAACCCAAGGCACGGAACCGUUCGUCCACGGCCCAGUCGUAGUACCUUGAAGAGGAAUGGGAGGUCGCCUCCCCAGCGCGCGGCGACGGCGGGGCCGAGCGCGUCGGGGUUCCGCGCGAGCCAGUCCCUGAGGAGCGCGCCGUCGCCGAGGAGCGUGGAGGGGCCGGACGGGUGAGUGCCCAUCCAGAGCUCGGCGUAGGGGCGAGCCGGGUCGGGGUUCUGGUCGGCGAGGCGCGCGACGAGGGAGGCGGCUCCGUGCUGGCCCCACUCGUAGUGCUGCACCGCGCAGCGCAGCCGCAGCAGCCUUUGCGGCGGCGCCGGGGAGGCCUCGGGCUCCGGCUCCGGCUCCGGCUCCGGCGGAGCAAGCGCUGGUGGGUCCUCCAUUUGGGCGGGGAUUUGAGCUAGGCUUGACGACGGUUGGAGGGAGGGGGGGGGAGGAGCGUUUGGAUUUUAAAGGGGAGGGAAGAGGAGGCCGCGGGCGGGUGGCGGCGGCACAACACAAAGGGGGAACCGGGGAAGACGACUCGCCCGAUGCGUGAAUUGACCGCGUCAGUUGUCUUCCGUUCCGAAAGUCCCGAGCGAGUGAUGCGUUGGCUACUAGGCUGUGCCUGUGAGUGUGAUGGGCCCCGCCGGGGUGGGGACCACUUUGCCUUCUCCUUUUCUUAAAUACAGUAUAAAUCGCUUUUCCUGCUUCAGAUCGAUCUUUAUACUUGUCAAUAUAGAUAUUCGUAUUUAUAUCAUGUUAUAAAUUUUAGAUUAGUACUUGAAUCCAGUUUUUAUGAUUUUUAUAUUUGAUUCUAGAUCCAUAUUCAAAAAAUAAUAUAAGAUAUUUGAUUUUAUUGUAUCGUGAAGAAAAUAUCAUCUAAAAGUUAUAUUUAUGACUAAAUAACAACAAUAAAUGAUAAUUAUUUAAAUAUAACUUAGUUCAAAAUAUUUAAAAGUUGUCUCAUAAAGGAUAAAUUGAAUUUAUUAUAAUUUAAAAUAUUUAAAACUUAUACGUAUGAUAUUUUCUAUAUUAUUAAUUAAUGAUAUGUAAAGGUCUAGUUUAAUUAACUUUGGUAUGACUAAUCGUAUAAAAUUUAAGUAAUUUAGUUUAUUUGUAUAUUUAUGAUGUUUAUAUAUUUAAAUUUAUUAUUAGUGACUUUUAAAUAUUUAUCUACACUUCUAUUGUUAUUUAUAUAUUUGAUUAUUGAAAUAAUUAUUAAUAUGUAUAUGUUGUUUUUUAUAGUUGUCUUUAUCUUAUAUAGUCAUAUUUUAAGUCCCUACGUACAUAUUGAUAUUAUUCUACUAUAGAACUAUUAAUAAGUAAAUCUAAAUAUUAUAUUCAAAAUCAAGUAAACAUCUAAGUGCGAAUUUGAAUUUGAGAUCUUCAUUUUGUAUCCAAUCUGAUAAUAUUUGUAUCCGCAUUGAAAUUCAAAUAAAAAUAUGAUACAUAUAGUGAAUCUAAUCUGAAUCAUCCCUAUUCCUAGUCAUUUUCAAAUAGACCCUUGUAAAAAAUAGGCAUUUGGCUAUUUCUUGACUAGCUCUGUUUUUUCAUCCACGACUCAUACGGAGACGCACAAAGCUUUUUUCCUAGAUGGAUGAACCAUUUUUAGAAGUGAACUAUUGUCUUUUAUAUUUUCCUAGCAAAAAUGCCCGUGCGUUGCAACGGGAGGAAAAAAACUAUCAAAUCUAUCUAUAUCUUUAUUACCUAAUUGUAUAUAUAAUAACAAACAGGCAAAAAUGUUUUUCUUCCUUGGUGGCCUCACCUUCCUCGCCUUAGGUUAGCUACAAGACCCAGUGCGCACCUCUUGCAUCCAUCCACCUGGAGCCACGACUUGCAUGGAGGAGACCCAUGCUCUCGUCUACCCAGUGCCACAAUGAGUCGCGCUGCCGCCAUAGGCUCAGGAGCUCGCCAGACGUUGCUGAGGUGUAUAUAUUAUAUAUACGAGCCUAUUUAGUUCCCCACACCAUUCUGCAAAAUGAAACUAAACACCAUCUAAAAUUUUUGGCAAAAUAGUUGUCAUUUUGAAUUUUGGCCUCAAAAGCCAAAAAAGUCAAAAAAAAAUAGCUUCAUAUAUUUUGGACCCUAAAAUUUUUAGCAUUUUGGAUAGAACUAAACACAUUCAUAAAAAAAUAUAUUUUGUAUUUUGUAUUUCACGGGGAAUUAAAUACAAUCUUAAUCAAAAGAAAAAUAAAUAAAGGAGAAAAAAGUACCUGGCCGUACACCGACACGCGAGACAGCCACCUCAAAACACGGAUUGAUGAUGAUAUAUUGGUGGCUGACCGAGUAGGACCUGAGCAUUUUCUCCUAGACCACCACCACUCCCGAAGUGAAGAGAGAGCUUUCCGCCUCCGCCUUGGAGCGACGCUGCCGUCGGAGCUCGAUACUGAUGGGUGGCUUCAGGACCUCGCGUCCUACCUCCGUCGCCCUCUACGCCUUCCUCGUCUUCCUCAAUCUCUUCGCCUUCGUUCUCACCGUCGGCGCUGAGCACCGCCACAACACCGUACGCUCCCUUCGCUCCUCCAGUCUCUCUGCAUCUCCUCCGCGCCUACCGCUACAUGCGUUGGUCAGAUCUUCGUGCUUGAUGGGCCUGAUGCAGAGGAAGGCACAGAGCUGUUGCCGUUGAAUAUAUAGUACUUGAUUUGUACGUGAUUUUGUUUUGGACUCGAUCUGGAUCUAGAAUCUGGUAUAUGGUACGUGAUUUGUAUUUGAUUUUGUUUUGGACUCGAUCUAGAAUCUGGUACCAGGCGAGUUCUCUGAGGCUCGAGAUCCAGCGGAUUACUAUGUUUUUUAUUUUGCCCGAUGAUAUUUUCUUGUAUAUCGUAUGGACUCAAGUCUCCACCCAAACGAAAAAUUAUCUAACGAAAAUUUAGGCUAGAUUUGAACCGGGGCGGACAGAACAGACAUGGCUCGGACAUAGUGGCAGAAGAAAUCUAUUGGCAAACUGAAAUUUUGACUCUUUAUAGAUAGGUAUAGAUUAGGAGUGAAUUAUUUGAAACUAUUAGAAUUUGCCUUUUUUCAACAUGGACUUUUUAGAGAAAAUUUUAGGAUACCCUUGAAGAUGCUCUAGUGCUCAAUUAAAAUUCACUACUAUCCCUAUUUAUUGCAGACAACUUAUGUUAAUUAACGAAUAAUAAGUUGCUAAUUAAAAGAAUGCAUGGAGCCAUGUGAACCAUAAUUUCAAAUUAAACAGGCUGAGGAGCUAAAACAUCAAAAUCUUUAGACAAAAUUUGAAUCAUAAAACAUCAAGUCCAUGUGACGAAGAGAGCAUAUAAAAGAAUGUACACAAGAAAUAGCAUGAGACAAUAACAAUUCGUCAUAUUCUAUAUAAGUAUUAAAAGUUUUGUGAAUGAGUUUAGAAUGUAAAACAAAUUAAAUUUUGUUACCUUUAGCCGCUCUCUAUUAACUUUCUAUUACAACCAUUCAUGUAAUCUAAUAGUCCAUAUCUAAUUUAAUUAGAAAAUAUAUCAAUUACUUUUGUAUGUGUUUCCAUCAUUUGGGUAGGACAUGUAUGAGAUUUAAUAUAUAUUUAGCUAAAAUGUUAGUUUAAGUGAAAUAUUGAAUUUGUAUUUUGGCUUGCAACUUUCGGUCCUAUUGACUCUUUUUAUUUUUUAACAACAUGUUAAGGUUAAACUCCUUUACUUUUUCUACUUCAAAAAAAACUCCUUUACAUAUUAUACAUCUUAUUUAAGAUUUUCUUCUAUAUUUUAUUAAAAAUAGAUUCCUAGACUACACUCUCACUACAAUAGCAAAAACAAUUGUUUCAAUCACACCCUCGUACUUAUGAUAAAAAGUAGAGUUCUUACAACUAAACUAUUAGUAUUGAUAUGCCAUAAUGACUCCGUCAAAUUAUAUAAACCUACAUAAGGUUUUUUUUGCGAGAAAACCUACACAAGGUUAUAACUUACAAAAUUGAAUUGUUGUGACCAAGUUUAAUAUUAUUUAAAAUGAAUUGCUUGUGUUAUUGGUAUGCGGUCUAUUAAGGUAAGAUUUUUCAUGAUCGAUAAAAUAAAACCAAUUUGUUGCUAACGUAUGCAUUAUAGUUACUUUGAAUUUAACUUUGGUAGAAGUGAAUAAUUAAGAAACACAUAUACUCUAAAGUUACUAGUUCUUUAUUAUAUUAUCUUAUAUUAGCAGCAACUUAGACAUAGAUUUUAGGGUCAUUUUUCUUUAUUUUUUAGAUGCAAAUUAAGGAUACUACUUUUGCAUUAGCUUUCAUAUUGUCAAACGUAAUUAAAUUAAAAUAAAUUUUUGUGGGAGUUAUCUUUGAAUGUUUUUCACAAUGGUAUAUAUGAGUGAUUUUCAUGUAAAUUUAGAAUAUUAUUUUAAAUUAUUUAUUUUUAUAAUAAAAGAGGUGGGUAAUUUAGAUAUCAAAGGAAGAUUAAGGAUCAACCAAAAUGUUAAUCUCGAGAAGAUAUUAAUAUUUAUAAAUAUUUUCAUCAUUGUUGACUCUCAAAAAUAAAAAAAAUACUAGAGAGGCACCUAAGUUCUUUCCACUAUUCAAGUUGUUUACUUUUUUAAUCAAUGAGUAUACAUUGAUUUUUAGUGUCAUUAGUAUAUGUGUAUGUUAAAUUUGUGACUUUUGGAACAUUAAGAAGUAUGUAUUUUUGUAUCCAUGUAAUUGAUGUGUGCAAUGGCCACAUUAUCUAUGUUUACAUCAAGUUAGUUUUCAUACAGUAACAACGUAAUUUAAAAACAUAUAUAUGCAGCGUCGUGACUGAUAUAGUUAUUCUAAAAAUUAAUAGACAAUUUUGGUAACUUAAAUGUAGUUUUAAUGCAAUGGCCACUUUUAUAGAGGAUUAUGUUAAUACCUAUGUAAAUUUAGGUUAUUUUAAUUACAAUAUUAACAUAUGUGGAUUUAGAUGCAAAUUUGUGGCGUUUAUGUUUUUUUUUCAUAAUAAAAAUCUACGUGGGUAUUUUUUUAGAAAACUAAAUAGUCUAGUGACUAGUAUUAUGUGUCGGGAUUAUAAGGCUAUCGGAUUGGUAGCUACUCAGUUCCAAAUUAUAAUAUGUUUUGGCUAAUCUAGAAGAUAUAUAUAGCUUUUGCUUUGCAUUUACACUAUGUCUAAAUGUGCAGUAAAAGUAAUAUUUAGAAAAAUCAAAACAUCUUAUAAUUUGGAACUAAGGGAGUAUAUCUUUCCAUUAUUUAUGAAAAUUUUAUGAUUUUUCUUAGCAAACCUGAAUAGAGUCUCUUGGAGGCCUCCAAUUAGUUAAUAUAAUGAUACAAUAUUAAGAAUAAGAAUAAGAUGCUAGAAUAACUAUGGUCGUUCCAAACUUCCUGGGUCACCAAAUGGAUAAGGGUGGUUUUGGCAUUUUUCCUGGGUUUUACACCAAAAAUAGUUUGGGAUUGGGAGUGGAGUACGUGAAAUCUGGCAUGGGGUGGGCCCUUCCUGCACUGUAGUACUACAAGGAAAACGGUUGCCGCCACCGCCGGAGAAUCAACACCAUCGCAUCACGCACGCUGCACGCAUGAUGGAGCGGAAAACCGCCGUGCCUCCCAUUCACCCAACGCAUCCGUCACACUUGGAGAUUCCGUGAUGAAACGGGAACGCGUCGUGGGUUCGUGGGUGGCGCGCGCUCAUCGGCCCAAUUUUUUACAAUUUGGCCCUUUUUUUAAAAAAGUUCACAAUUAGAUCUCUGAAAAACUUAAAUGCAGAAAUGGAUCCAGGGGGUCGGCGCCAUGAAUCAUGGCGUCGAGGUGUCACGUCUCGGCGUCAUGGAUCACGGCGCCGAGGUCCUGGACGCAGCCAGCGUACUUUCUGACGUGGCAGUGGCCAAAAAAAAAGGUCGGCGCCACAGAUCACGGCGCCGAGCUCGGCGUCACGGAUCUCGGCGCCGAGCUCGGCGCCACGGAUCUCGGCGCCGAGGUAGGAUAAAAAGUGGGGGGCUGCCUCCUCGGCCCUGCUCACGCCGCGCGCCGCGCCCGACUGCUGCCACCGCGCUCCGCCGCCGCUGCCGGCACCGCUCGCCGCCACCGCGCGCCCCACCGGUGCCGCGGGCGCCACCGCGCGGCCCCGGCCACCGCGCGGCCCCGGCCGCCUGCGCGCGCCCCGCCGGUGCCGCGGGCGCCACCGCGCGCCCCGCCGGUGCCGCGGCCGCCACCGCGCGGCCCGCCGCUGCCCCCGCCCCGCGCGGCCCGGGCGCCGAGGCCGCUGCCCCCGGCCGCCACCGCCUGUUGCCCGGCCCUCCCGGCGGCUGCUGCAGGUAUUUUUUUUUCUUUUCCUAGUACGAUAAUUGUUUAGAUAAUGUGGUUUGUUUUCUAAGUUGUAUAAUUUUUGAAAUAAUUCUUGUAGCAAUUUUCUAUAUUGGUAUUAUUUAUAUGAAUAUUGUUAUGUAAUUUAGAGUUGUUUAUUUAAUUUAGAUUAGUUUAUUUAAUAUUUUAGAAUUUAGUUAUGUAAUUUAGUUAGAUAAAUCUAGUUUGUAAUUUUAGUUAUAUAGUUAGUUACAUACGUAUUUUAUUAGAUAGAUAUUUAGGUGUUUUAUUUGUAUUAGUUAUAUGUCUAGUAACAUGGUUGUUUUGUAUAUCAAUUAGAUGGACAAUUUAGUAACCUUAUAUCAUGGAGGAAGUGUGGAGAAAGAUCAAUUUGGCAAUGUUGAUUUUGUUGGAAUGCAAACGGUCUCUUUGAUGUUUGAUGAGCGGCCCUUGUUUUCUGAAUUGAUGGGUAGUGCUCGUGAUAAGCUUAAAUGUAAUUCGAAUGAAUAAGAAAUCUUAAUUGAGGGGGUCAUUCACCAUGGCGGGUCAGGGACAAUUUUUAGGCGGUUGGUCCCAAUUGUAUCCGAGGUUCAAUGGGACAAAUAUGUCAAAACUGUCAUGAAGAGUGACUUUAAAUGUUUGGAUUUGGUUGUGCGCAACUUGUCCAAGGAGCCAGGCCCUCUAGUGGAUUCUCCACUUAAUUGGCAACCACCCAUUGGUGAGUUCUCACCGGAACCGGACAAUCCGGCACCCUUAGCUUCUCUUAUACCCAUUCAGGACGUGGGUGUGGAAGAUGUGGUUGUCGUUCCUGAUGCUCAAUCCGGUCCCAAUGAGGUUGGCUGCGUACAUACCCCUAUGACCCAGACAAUUCCAUGUAAGUGGCGUAGUUGCAUUAUUCAUUUUGUUAGCAUUCCUUCGUUCGAUUUAGUUGUCUCAAUUGUAUGCAUAUUUGUGGUUUGUUGUAGGUGACAAUCCAAGUAAUGAUUGUUGUCAUCCUGUGCCUCCAACAUUUAAUGUUGACGCAGCUUUUAUAGCAUCUAAUAGUUUGGAUGUUAAUAUUGAGGAUGAUGAGGAGCCCUAUGGCACAGCUAGAGCUGUUGAUUCCGAUGAUGACCGGCCAGUUGCACCUUUAAGUGAACAAGAAAUGGAGCUUAUCAGACGUUUUUGUCCUGAUCGUGAUCCACUAGUUCACGAGUUUAGUGACCUCAGUCAUUCUCAAAAUGCUUAUGCAGAGGGAAGAGAUGAUGAGCUGCUGGAGGCUCCUGAGCCUGGUGAGAGUGUGCAAAUUCAGAAGGGCAUGAUCUUUAAUGAUUUGCCCAGCUUAAGAAGGUGGUUGCAACAAUAUUCUGUAAUACGUAAAAGACCCUUCAAGGUGAUGCACUCCCAUGUUGAGCGCCGCUACACGGUUGUGUGUGAGAUGUCCGAUUGCAACUGGAGGGUCUGUGCUCGUAAACAAAAGGCCACCGGGAAGUUUAAGAUCACAAAAAUUGUAGGUCCACACACUUGUGCCCAGACUGACCUUCAACAGAAGCAUCGACAGUUGACCUCUACACUUAUUGCUAGUACGUUAUGCACAACUUUAAAGGGUCAGCCCAACUUGAAGGUCAGAACAAUUAUGGACAUGGCUCAGAAGAUAUUUAAAUAUGACAUAAAGUAUGGCAAAGCAUGGAGGGCAAAGCAAAGGGCCUGGAAGAUGAUAUAUGGGGACUGGGAGGAGGGGUACGAGCAGCUGCCAGCAAUGUUCAAUGCAAUGAAAGCAGCUAAUCCAGGCAUGCAUUACGAGUACAUUCCGAAGCCUAAUGAAUGGAGGAAUGGGAGGCAGAUAUUCUUUCGUGCAUUCUGGUGUUUUCCACAGUGUGUCCAGGCCUUUAGGCACUGCCGUCCAGUGUUAUCAAUUGAUGGUACUUUUCUGCUUGGCAAGUACAUGGGCACUCUUUUGGUAGCCAUUUCCUAUGACGCUGACAACGUAUUGGUUCAUUUGGCUUUUGCUUUGGUGGAGAGAGAGAACAAAGACAGCUGGGGUUGGUUCAUGCGCCUUGUUCGGAUACAUGUCAUUGGCCCACAUAGGGAGGUUGGUGUCAUAUCUGAUAGGCACCAGGGCAUACUCAAUGCCGUAUAGGAGCAGAUUCCUGGUUAUGCACCUUUGCACCAUCGUUGGUGUACUAGACACCUUGCAGAGAAUUUACUUCGGAAAGAUGGUACGAAGGACAACUUUCCUCUAUUCGAGGAGGUUGCUCGAAUGCUUGAGGUGCCAUUUUUUGAGGAGAAGUUGGAGCAGUUAAAAACCGCAACAAAUGCAGAAGGUAGGCAGUGGCUGCUAGGUUUGAUGAGGGAACCUGAGAAAUGGACAAGAGCCCAUGAUAAUGGUGGAUGGAGGUACGAGUUUCAGACUAGCAACAUGGCAGAGUCAUUUAAUAGUGUGCUCAAGGGUAUACGUGCCAUGCCAGUCAAUGCCAUUGUAUCUUUUACCUUUUAUAGACUAGUGGCCUGGUUCAACGAUAGACAUGCUCAAGCAUUGCAAUUACAAAGUAAUAAUAUAAAAUGGGCACCUAGAGCUAAGAAGCACCUUGACAAGGCAAAGGAAAGGGCUAGAACACAUGACAUAGAGUGUUUUGACCAUGCCACUGGCAAGUACCAGGUCACUGAAAGGGGUGGUACAACGUCAGAUGGUGAGAUCCGACCAUCAAGGAGUUAUAUUGUUGUCCUGACUGAUUUUUCAUGUGGAUGUGGGAGACCAAGACAGUACCACUCUCCUUGUUCUCACUAUAUUGCAGCAGCUAGGCAUCGCAACUUUGACUACGAGACCAAGAUACCAUGGGAGUUGAGUGUUGAUAGCCUUGUGCUAACUUGGUCGCCCCGUUUUGAGCCUUUCCUAGAUGAGGGGCAGUGGCCAGAAUACAUUGGCCCAAGGUACAUUGCAGAUCCAGGUGCUCGCUGGAACAAACGUGGAACCAGAAAGCGUACGAGGCAUAAGAUGGUCAUGGACCAGAUUUCAGGUAGAACGAGGCGAGGGAGAGCAACCCCGUUUGUUACUGACCCCGAGCAAAAUCAAUGUGGCAAAUGUGGUAGACUUGGACACAACUCGCGUACUUGCCAUUGGCCGCUAAGUCAGGUGCACUUAAUAUUCUAUGUACUUUAGUUGUUAAAUACUUUCAUAUGCAACUUACUUUUUGGCAGACAUACAUGUUCUAGUGCUCCUUUGUUUAAUAUAAUGACAUUGUAAUGUAUUAUUUUUUUCUGCUUAAUUACUAACUAAUGGAUCAAAUUUGUUUAUAGGAUGGAGCAAUUCCACCUCCUGGAUCCAUACUACGAGGUGAAGCACCGAGGACGACUCACUGCCGAGGGGACGGUACUUACUUUGAUCUUUGCUUUUCAUUUAUUAUUAAUUUGUGUACUUAUGCAUUAAAUAACUUGAUUGUAUGGUUGCAGGAACUACCCCCGCUUCGACCUCGAACGCAUGACAAGUUCGAGAAGAUGCGGUAUGACGACAGGUACACACCUCUGCUGCAGAGGGCUGGCCUGGAUGUCAUAUCGUAUCAGGUUCGUCGUGGGUUGCCUCCAAUUAACCCCGCGGCGAUCACAGCUUUGGUUGACAGGUGCACCAUUUAUCUAUAGUAAUCGUAUGUUUUUUUGAACAAACUUUAUCUAUCUUUCUGAAAACCCUAACAACAAUGUUCUUUAAAUUGUAGGUGGAGGCCAGAAACUCAUAGUUUCCACCUACCUUGUGGAGAGAUGACUGUUACACUCCAGGACACUCAGAAGAUCCUGGGUUUGAGUGUUAGAGGUCAUCCAGUUAUCGGACACUGCAGGCCCGAUGGUUGGAGGGCCAGAGUUGAGGCCUUCCUUGGAAGACCACUUCCUCCGGAGGCACCGACGCAGCGCACCACUGGGGUACCAAUUGCUUGGCUUAGGCAGAGCUUUGGUAAUUGUCCGGCACAUGCGGACCAGGAGACAGUUGCCUACUACUGUAGAGCUUGGAUCUUGCACCUAUUUGGGUGUGUUCUUUUCCCUGACGCGACAGGGGACACUGCAUCGUGGAUGUACCUCCCGUGCCUCACUGACUGGGACACCACAGGUACUUUUCCCUUACAUAGUUAUUAUUAAUUUGGUUUCUUAUGUUUACGUAUGCAUUGAUUAAAUUGAUUGCAACGGUUUCAGGUACUUACAGCUGGGCUUCGGGAGUGCUGGCUUACCUAUACCGUAGCCUUUGUGAGGCGUGUCGUCGGACCGCAAGUAGUUCUUCCGUUGGUGGUUGUGUUUACCUACUGCAGCUUUGGAUGUGGGCUCGUCUUCCAGUUGGACGGCCCAUAGUUGACGCUCCUCGGGAAUGGUUUGCAGUGGGCAACCCUCGUCACCGUCCGACGUUUGCCCAUCUUUGGGACCAGGCGAAAGUCGCCUUCAGCAGGACUUCACGUGCGUACGUACAGUAUGCCAAUGAGCUCGACACGCUUAGGCCCUCCAUGGUGAGUAAAAUGCAGUAUUUCUUGUUUAUUGUAUGCUCGAUAGUUUGUCUAACUUGCCAUAUACAUGUCUUAUGUUUGCAGGUUAAUUGGGAGCCGUACACGGCGAAUGAUGCGCUGCAUCUUGGAGUAAGCAGCAUGUGUAGCGAGGAUGAAGACUUGUACUUGAUGAUCUGUCCUUUGAUUUGCUUCUAUGCUGUUGAGUGGCACCUUCCAAAUCGAGUAGCCCGCCAAUUUGGCCUGUGCCAGCAAUGGCCUGUCCCUCCAUUUGAUACUUCCGUGGAGCUGCACAAGUAAGUUAUUUUGGUAAUUUAUUCCAUGCAUUUGAUAGAUAUGUUGACUGCAAUUUAUUCAAAGUUCAAUAUUUAUUCAAAUUUCAAUACCUUAAAUGUUGCUGAAAAUUACAUGAUUGCUGAAAUUUAUUUGCUACUUGGUCCAAUAUAAAUCCUUGCUGAAAUUUAUUACCCCCUAUAUGCAUGUUGGUACUUUUUACAUGCUUGCUGAAAUUUAUAUAAAUGUUGCUGAAAUUUACAUGCUUAGUGCCUAUCCAUGCUUGCUGAAAUUUAUAAAUGUGAUAUUGCAGAUCCAUGCUUGCUGAAAUUUAUAUCCUUAGUCAUUUCCAUCGUAUUUGAAGUGUGCUACUACAACCUACUUGCUGAAAUUUAUUUCAUACCUACUAUAUUCAUGUUGCUAGUUCAAUAUUUUAACCCCGUACUGAGUUUUAGAAUCAAUGUUGUUAAAUCUGUGUUAUUAUUUUCAUCUUUAAUAUUUAAUUUUAGGAUUGAUCGUCAGAAGCAAAAGAAGACAUUUGAGUUUGAAACGUUGCAUCGUCAGUACAUAGAGGUGUGGGACCAGUUUCAUGACAACCUCUACGAAAAUGAGCAACCACAUACCAACUACAAUUUUCGUGCAUACCUUACUUGGUACCUAGGUGUUACACGAACAAGGUUGAAAAUUCAGUGGACCCAAGCAGAUUAUGCGUACCUUGAAUCAUCUGAGGAUGAGGACACUUCCUAUGACCUAGCAGCACGACAAGGGACACUUAUCGAGGCAGCACCUGUCUUGGACCGAGUGGUACAUGUCCUUUCCACUAUACAAUUGUACGAUUGUUGUCCUUUCCACUUUAUAAAUUGCACCUAUAUAAACUAUUACAUGUCUUAUCUUAUAUGGCAACGCAAUAAAGCAAUCUGUACUUGACAUCGAACGGUUUCCAAGAACAGGUGUGGACGAGCACACACUAAACAACUUUCUUGGAGUAAGUACUUGACAUCGAAUUUAUCUAAGAACAAGUAUUACGACCCUCAUUUAUCAUAUAUCUAACAAUAUGAAUUUUAAUCUUUGCAUAAUAGAGACUAGCACGUAGGCUUAGGCGUGCUGCAGCUCGGUGCGGUUGCGGUACUAGUGCUGCGAUGAAUGUGCAUGUGCCACAGGAACGACAAUGCAACACACCUGUUGUGCAUGGUACAUCUUCUUUGGGAGGUAUAAUUUUAUUAAAUUUGUUGUUUAUUUGAACUGAGCAAUUUUCAUGGUAUGAGAUAAUGAAUUAAGUGCACACAUAAUUUGAACAAUGUUUAUAGGAUCUGGAGGACAGAGCUCGUCUCGGCCAACUAUGGACACUUUUCAAAGCGAUGAUGAUGAGGACGAAGAGGGGGUGGCCGAGGAGCGUGACUAUGACGAGCUUGGGUUAUCUCAGCUUCCUAAUGCUCCUUCUACUCAGCCUACGCAGGUUGCAAGAAGGCGACGUCGUUCGCCUUGUAGGUACACUCCAGGCACCGAUGCUCUUGGCCACAAGGGUAAGGGUAAGACUAGGAGGCAGUGAGGAUGACUUCUGUGCUAACACCAUGGUAGCAGCUUAGAAUUGAUGGCAUAACUUCUGUUAUUUUGCAUGUAUCGACACUGUGAACUUUGUGGACUAUUUGUACUAUAUGGGACUGUAUGGUCUCUGUGGACUAUCUGAACUAUCAUUCCUGAUGGCGUAUGUGCUUGUGUUGUGAUAUUUGGAUGAAUCAAUGUUUGUAUUGUACUGUGAUGUCUAUUUAUAACUGUGGAUGUACCAAAAAUAGGGGAAACUCUUGCAAAUUUUUUCCAUGAAUUAUUCAAUGUAGUGCACAUAUUCUGUGGUCCAUUCCUAUUGGUUUUCGCAGUGUAGGCUUUUCAGAAACAGUCAACCAAUAUGGCUUUUCAUUGAAUCAUCACAUCCGAAACAGUGAACGAAUCUAGCCUUUUCAGAUGACAAUCCAAAUAGACUUUUCAGUUUUCAACUAGGCUUUUCAGUAAUCGAAUCUAGGCUUUUCAGGUGCAUUUAUUACUACAACGGCUACCAACUAUUGGGUUCCUAUAUAUAUACGCAGUGGUGAGAGCGUUGCUACUCACUUGAGAUUGUUCAGUUCAAGUAAAAAUGUCUGGAGGGUCGUCUAGAGGGAAGGGAAAGGGAAAGGCGGCGAUGAAGGGUAAUCCCUUUCUUUGGGAGGGUCCUCUUGGUCCUAAAGACUUUGAGGAAGCAAUUUAUGAUAGGUUCCCCCUUGAGAGCAAACAUGAUUUUACUAAAGAGGCACCACUGAGGGCAUAUGAUGACCGAAAAGAAGAGUGGCCAAAAUGUAUGCAUGGUGAGGAUUGUUUGGUGCAGAUGUACACAGAGGGGAUAGAUGGAGGGCGUCGUUUCUUCAAAUGUCCACGAGCAUGGGUAAGUCAUAUUACUAAUUCAACCUUCAAUAAGAUACUCUCUUGUGCUAAAGCUACAUACUUAUUGCAGUCAUCCUUGUCAAAAGAGAACUGUGGCUUCACCAGAUGGGUCGAUCCUAGACCUAUUCAUCCCCAUGCAGAGUACAUCUACUACCUGCAGGACCGUAUCUUUGAUUUAGAAACGGAAGUUAGUUGUGGUUACAAGGACGACGAAGAGGACGACAACAGCAAUGCUACUGGCUCCCAAAACACAAUAUGCAAUGAUCCAUACUGCACAUGCCCUAAUCACAAGAACAAGGGCCCUCCUUCACCACCACCCCCACCCCCACCACCAACAACGGGAGGAUACUAUGGAGAAGGGGCAACACAGUUUGCUAUGUGGCCACACUACUAGGUAGAACUGAACUAAUUCACAGGCCACAUCCAUAUGUUUGUUGUUUGGUUUAAUCACCUAAGGCAUGUUAGGGUUAGUCGAAAGAACUAUGUACCUUUGUGUGGUAUAUGUUCUCACAUGCCAUUCCCUGUGCUUGUUAAUUGCUUGAAUUACCUAAGGCAUGUUAGGUUUAGUCUCGGACCUCUGCACCCUUGUUUGGUGCAUGUUUUGACAUGCCAUUCAAUGUGAUGUGUGCUACUAGUUUUGCAAUAUACUAGUUCGUUAACUUCUAUUUCAACUAAUUAUCCUCAUUUCAUUGCCUAUGCAAUACUCAAAUAAAAAUAUUGUCUACUAAUAAUGAAACCAAAUUAAAAUUGCUAAAGUGCAUUACAUAACAACAAAUUGAAAAGUCCAACACAAAAUAAUAUUGUCCAUGAACCAAACAAAGAACAAGAAGGUAAUGUAACUACUGAGUGCAACGAGGCCACUUUCCCUUCCUCUGGGCAUCUGGAUUCUCAUCAAUAGCUGCCUUCGCUCGGCGCACACGCUCAAGCUUCUUUUCCCUCUCCUCCCGAGCCGCAGCAACACUUCUUCUUUUCUCCUCUUCCUUGUGCUCCCUCUUUUGAGCCUCCUCUCUACGUCUCUUCUCUAAUAUCUCUGCACGCUCUGCAUCCCACUCCUUUAGGCCUUGUAGAAGCCGCUUGUCGGACUCCUUAACCUCAGUGUCGAUCCACUGCUCAAAAUCACACAAUGGUGGAGGGGUCUGCAACAAAUAUAUUUAUUCAAAAAUUUAAAUCAUGCUUCGUAGGACACAAAUUAAUAAGUGCACAAUAGAAAAAAUAACUUACAAUAAAGUUACUGCGGCGUUGUUUUGGCGUAGGCUCCCAGGCAAAAUUCGAACACAUCCAAUACCUCUGCCGAUAGGUUUCCUCGUCUUCCGAUUAAGUUUUCUAAGGGUCCAAUUGUGAACUUUUUUUAAAAAAAAGACCAAAUUGUAAAAAAUUGAGGCUCAUCGGCUUGUGCCGACGGCGGAUCCGAACGAGGCCCCACGGCACGGGCGCACACCACCGUCACGACGUGACGCUAGCCGACACGCACAGCACAGCACCGAAACCACCGCCGGGACCCGGCACGUGUUGUGCGCUCCCCGGGCCGUCGUGGCGCCGCCCGCCGCGCCGCUUCCUCGCCUCCUCCCGACUCCCGAUCGCACGGUGUCGCACACUCGCUCAGCCGGAGCCAAGAAGGACGUUGUCGAUGCCAUAAACAAGGACCUGAACAUUGAGUUGAACUACGAUUAAAUUUAGUUUAAAAUCUAUUUCAAUUCACCCUAACACAUACAUACAGAUUAAUAUGAAUCCGACUACAUCUAAAACUUAGUGACUUGGUGUUAAAGCUCUCCCGAGUUGAAGCACUUGCAGAAUCCAAGGCUUUGUUUAGAUCUAAAAAGUUUUUAGCAUUUUCGUUUUUAUUUGACAAAUAUUGUCUAAUCAUGAAAAUAACUAGGCUUAAAAUAUUCAUCUCACGAUUUACAGACAAACUGUACAAUUAGUUUUUGUUUUCAUCUAUAUUUAAUGUUUUAUGCAUGUGCCGCAAGAUUCGAUGUGACAAGAAAUCUUAAAAAAAAAGUUUUGGGGGUGAACGGGCCUUGUUUAGAUGCGAAAAGUUUUUGGAUUUUGACACUGUAGUAUUUUCGUUUUUAUUUGACAAAUAUUGUCCAAUCAUGGAGGCUUAAAAGAUUUGUCUCGCGAUUUACAGACAAACUAUGCAAUUAGUUUUUAUUUUCAUCUAUAUUUAAGGCUCCAUACAUUUGCCGCAAGAUUCGAUGUGACACAGAAUUUUGAAAAGUUUUUGGUUUUUGUGGUAAACUAAACAAGGCCUAAAGAAGGCCCAAAUGUAACAUCAACUGCGCACUUCUCCUGCGAUCCCAGAUCAAAGAUCAAAGACUUUCAACAGCUGGGGAUCCGUGCAUGUAGCAUGGAAACCGUUGAUGUUGUAGAUUACUGACGAGAAAUCUCUACGCAACGCCAACCACGGAGGGUUUGCCUGUCUCUCUUUUCUUCUUUGGAACAUAUAUAAAUGGGCGGGCCUGUCUUCAGAGUUAGUUAAAGCGACAGGGGCUCCUUUAGGUGCUCUCAAAGAGUCUCAACUGCACGCUACUUGUUUUGGACUUAAACGAUCUAGAAUUCUAGAUUCUAGAUCGAGUGUUAUUUAGCACGCGGACUUGCUUUCUAGACCAAAGACAACCAAAGUAUUAUUUGAUCGGGAAACAAUGGAACACAGAGGUUCAAAUUCAGGUGAAUGCGGUCUUGGCAUGUGAUCCGAUCCCAGAUGCUUCAAUUCCACCCACACUAUUCGAUGGCAGGAAGGAUGGUCGGCAAGGUUGCACCGGAGGAGAAACAAAUUCAAAGUUCUAGUAGAUUUGACAUUAUUUCCUUCUUGUACACAACUGUCUGCUAUUUGAUCGAUUGACUCAUCACGGCAUCUAUCAACGGCCAGUUCUAUACUAGUAUUAGUCUAUUAGAUAUCACGUGCAAGAAAGAGUGUCAAAACCUUUGAGCUAACGGAAAAGAAGAUCUAAUUUUUUUUGACAUCCUGAUUUAUGAAAGACAUAAUAAUAACUCCUCUAUCUCUCUCAUGUUAGGAGAGAAUAUAUAAUAAUUCCUCAAACUCUCUCUUAACAGGAGGAAUAUAUGAAAGAGAAUAACUUACAUAUAGCAAAAGGAAGAUAUAUCAUGUAAAAGUCGAUACCUAACUUUUACUAAUAGAUGUGCCCUUAGUAGCACAUUUUAUUACCUUUGUUCUAAAAAAAUGCAAAUAUUUUAGAAUAGUGUUUAGUCAAACAUUGUUAAAUUUAACUAAAUUUAUAUUAAAAAUAUUAUUAUUUAACAUACUAGAAAUAUAUUAUUAGAAUGAACUAUAUUUUAUAGUAACUUAUUUGAAGUCGUAAAUACUGAAUGCUACUUUAUAUUAAUUUUAUUUAUCUAGAUAGUUUGACUUAGGGGCAGUUUGUCACAGCUCUCAUCUGCUCUUUUAUUAUUAUAGCACAGAUCCGGUGUAAUUAGAAAUCAUGGCUCCACCAGCUCCUCCUCUUCUUAUUUUUCAUCUCGAAAAUUGAAACGGCUCUGUGCUACCAUACCAAAUAGUGUUGCUGUAGUGUUUUUUUAAGGAGGAGCCAAAUUACGUAAGGUCUUGUUUAGUUCCAUUUUUUUUUUACAAAAUAGGCAUGGUAGCACUUUCAUUUGUAUUUGACAAAUAUUGUCCAAUCAUGAACCAACUAGGCUCAAAAGAUUCGUCUCGCAAAUUACAGGUGAACUAUGCAAUUAGUUUUUAUUUUCGUCUAUAUUUAAUAUUGUGAUAAGGAAUAUGAAAAUUUUUGUAAAAUUUUUUUGGAACUAAACAAGACCUAAGAUAUGUACGAAACAAGGCCUUAGAUUCGUGCUAGAAUUGCAUGGCGGGAUGGAGUGCUGAGUGCAAGAUUGACUCAUGAUCAUCGAGCCAAUAAUUAUACAUGCAGUUUGGAAAGUAAGCACUUAUUCUACGAACGGAGGGAUAUUAUUUUCUUUUCACAACAAAUCGGCAUAAGUUAAAUUUUAGCGAAACAAACACACACGAGUAGCACUCAUAUUGUAGCUGAAUCCGUAUUCUACUGUUUUGGCCAAUCUAGCUGGGCACAGGUGAUAUUUACGGUAAAUGCGGCAAAUCCCAAAUAGUUUUGGGAUUGGGAGUGGUAUAUGAAAUUUAGCAUAGGUGGGGCCCGUCAAUCAGUGUAGGACAGGAAAACGGUUGCCGCCACGCCGCCGGAGAUUCAACACCGGCAAACCGGCGUACCUCCCAUACCAUCGCACGGCACGACUAGGACGCAUCCGUCACACUGCAGACCUCACGGGUGCACACACCGACACCAUCACGAUCACGACGUGACGCUAGCGGACGCACCGAAACCACCGCCCGGCGGGCAUGCAGGAGGCAGCUGGGCCGUCGUCAUUAGGCCGCAAACACGACACUCCCGCGCUUUUUCGAUCGGCAGCAUACAUCUCGUCUUUUGUCGAUGCGAUCGUUAAACAAAGGAGCUUUCAGUGCCUGCUUAUACGGGUCAGCGAGACGCCACGCAGCAUGGUAAAACUGUCCUAGGCAUAUAGUAUCCCGUAAAUUUUGCAUAUCCCCCCCCCCCCUCAGUGUAGUACCGUAUAGAUUUGAAAUACACGUUUUUGAAUACCCUUUUCUGAAACUCAGAAAUUUCAAAUUUUGCAGCAAUCAAUCAUAGGAAAAAAGAAAAGAAAGAAUAUAAUGUAGAGGGAAAAAAUCGCACAUAUGGCUUGCCGGCUUGGUGUUGAAGCUCUCCCAAUUUGAAGCACUCUCAAAUACUCUUUCAGUUUCUAGCUUUCUUGGAGAGUCAACUCAUAAGUUUGACUAAAAUUAUUGAGAGAAUUAUAAAAAUUUAUCACAUUAAGUUAUAAAAAUAUAAUUAAUAAAAAAUUAUUGAUUCUUUAUUAUUAUUAUUAUUAUUAAAGUUAGUUAAAUUUAAAAAAUAUUCUCUCUAAAAAUUUAUAAAAAUAACUUAUAAUUUAAGACAGAGUGAAGAGUCAACUGCGUACUUCUCAUGUGAUCCCACAUUAAUGACUUUCAACAGCUGGAUAUCCCGUAUCCGUGCCUGUACCAUGGAAACCGACAAACCGUAGACGUUCUACAUCGCUGAUAAGAUCUCUACGCAACGGCAAAGGAAUAUGGUGCUCACGCUGACCAUCCAGAGGGUCAUGUCAUGUUAGCACACGGACUACGCGCAUUCUACUACGGAAAGAGAAGUCCACGUUUAGGCUUCAGCUUUCAGAGUCCCACAUGCCAGGACCACUUGACCUUUAUCUGUUCUUCCAAGACUGCCCACGGAAAUUCUUGGCUUCUUUGCCAACGGAUGCGCGUCACAAAACGGCAAGUGAAUUCGACCUUAUCGCAUGUACCACCUGUCGUUUUCACCCGCUCUGUCUCCAGUGUACAGCGAAAACCAUUCACAGCAAAUGCUCCUGUUGAUAUGUAUGACCGACGUGGGCAGGCUCCUGUUCCUGUCCACGAGCGGCUGCAGAGAGCCCUUGCUGUAGCCUUUCAGAGCUCAGACCCAGCGACAGAAUCCUCUCACUUUCAGAACUUGAUCCGUCGCACAAAUCUGUCCGCAAAUUGCAAAAAUAGGAGCAUAUGCCUUUUGCACAAUGGCAUUUGCCUGCAUGAGCAUGCUGCUCCAAGAAAAAGAGAGCGAGGGACACUUAACUCUGAAGAUAGAAGAUGCCCAGGACAGUGACGCAACCAAACGCUUUCAGAAUGCCAUUGAUCUGCGUGCAAGGUCAUGACUCAUCGGAGAGACUAUGAGAGCCAAUUACUAGUAGUUUACUACUACCAGUUGACAUGUUGACAGUGAUUCUACUAACCAAUUGCAAGAUGCAGAUGAGGGGGGGCUUCGAUCAUAAGACAAUCCAUCAUCGCGUAAAGUCUCCAGCAUGAGAUAAUCGCACGCAAAGGUGAUGUUGGCUACUCGCCAAGUAAUUAAUGAAGUAACUGAACCUGCAAGCAGAAAUUUCAUGGCUCCAAGGGGUGAGUGUUGGCUCGUGUCGUCUGCGUCUGUAACUGAGUCUCGCAAAAAAAAAUCAAUAAAAAAACACGCAUAAUUUUUUUUUGAAGGAACUGGCAGGAGCUCUGCCUUUCAUAUUAGAUAGGAAAGAAAGUAUAUACAAACAAACCUCUUAAGGAGGCACUUCCAAGCAGACAUUCUGAAAUAUAUUUUUUAAAAAAAAGAAGGUUCUGAAAUAUCUUCAGGAACUUGCUACGAAUGGGCCGAAUGAGCACAACGCGUGGAAACUGUCGUAGACCUGUACAAAUAAACUUUCGGCCUAUGUAGAAAUACUUGUAGGCCCGAAAGUUUCUGGAACAGAGAUGCAUCCCAUUAGCAAUGGGCCAUGUGUUAGACAAACUUUUGUCUCAGGUUCUGCACUCAGGGCUCGUGGCCCAUUUCCUAACGCACUAGCUAAUCCACUGUCUCUUUAUUUUGCGUCAAGAAAGAUAGCAAACUUGGUGCUGUUCAGAGAUGCGCCACAAGCCCACAAAUCACUAGACCUCACCAAAAGCAAAGCUACUACCCUGAACAACUUUCAGCAAUAGGCUUUCAGUAGUCACCCUCUGCUGCAUCUACUGAAUCUUAGUUUAGCAAUUCUACUGAAUCUCAGUUUAGCAAGGAAGUUCGACAGUCUAGCAUUCUCUCAAGCCCCAACUGUACGCCAUAUGAAUGGAACUCUACAAUCAACCUAGCUAGCUAGGAUUACGAAACAAGGCCCUCUUCACAAAUUACUCAGCUACAUGUCGCUAACAGUAUCUAUCGAUCAUUUUCUUGUACUCUGCAUUGCGUCUACCGGCCUUCCGUGGUGAAGGAUAUGGAAAUGGAGUUCCGAGACUCGUCCUCGGCGAUAUUGGCCAGCACAGAGGCCCUGGUCGUGUUCGUGUCGGUGCCGAACGUGCUGCCGCCGCUGGUGGUGUUCGUGUUGGAGGCGCCCGACGCCGCCGACGCGGAUCCUGAAGUCCCCGUCGUCGUCGUCGUCGUCCACCGGCCGGUCCUGCCAUGGAUCGCCGGCUUCCCGGGCUUGGGCAGCGUGAACGAGUCGCUGGACAGCAUCAGGUGCACGCUGUGCAUGUCGGGCCGGUCCGGCACCACGGCCUGGCAGCACAGCAGGCCGAGCUGGAUGCACAGCAGCGCCUGCUCGCUGUCGUCGGGGUUGGACAGCGACGGGUCCACGAUCUCCAGGGAUCGUCCUUCUUCGAACAGCUUCCAUGUCUGAAUAAAAGUUUCAGAAGAUUCAGCACAUCAGACUAUCUACUACUAUAGUACGCAGAGGAAUUUCUCUUUCUGACGAGGAGAUCUGAGCACUUACAUAAUUCAAGAGGUCGAUCUUUUGGUCAUCCGAAUGCCGAACGAUGUUCUUCCGUCCGCUCACAAUCUCCAGCACCAGGAUCCCGAAGCUAAAGACGUCAGUCUUGGUGGACAAGUAGCCGUUCAAUGCGUACUCUGGAGCCAUGUAACCACUGCAAUUCAUCACCAUACGGCAUUUGCACGGGCACAGGCUGUGGAUACAAGGCGAGACGCUAAACAGAAUCGUCUGAACUCACUAUGUGCCGGAGAUUCUGAAUGUGUUCACGUGCGUGGCGUCCUCCAGGAACAGCCUUGCCAUGCCGAAAUCUGAAAUCUUUGGGUUCAGCUGGUCGUCAAGGAGCACGUUGCUCGCCUUGAUGUCUCUGUGGAUGAUCUUCACCGGAGAUUCUUCGUGAAGGUACAGGAGCCCUCUUGCCAAUCCGAUGAUUAUGUGGUACCGUUUUGGCCAAUCUAGCUGGACACACUUUUUCCUGUCUGAAGUAGUCAAAGGAUCGGAACAUAAUGCACAUGUUAGAGAACGAACUGAUUUUUUGUGUCAUCCUAAUCUACUACUCCCUCCGUUCCAAAUUAUAAGUCAUUCCAAGAAUCUUGGAAAGUCAAAACAUUUUCAAGUUUGACCAAAAAUAUAAAGAGAAAUAUAAAGAUUUAUGUCAUAAAAUAGGUACACUAUGAAAAUAUAACUAACAAAGAAUCUAAUAAUACUUGGUUGUUACCAAAAAUGUUAUUAUUUUGCUAUAUAAAUUUGGUCAAACUUGAAAAACUUUGACUCUCCAAGAUUCUUGGAAUGACUUAUAAUUUGGGAUGGAGGGAGUAUCAUCUAAGGAAAUGUAUGCACCAUGCGUUUCUAAUACACCCAGUUUUCAGAAGGUAGUAUAGUUAUGUGCAAGCUGAAGUUUGCACAAAGCUCCGGUAGGUAGCUGGGUAAACCUGUAUGCAGCUCUGUUUUUUUUCUGGAUCACACAAAAGGUUUGCACGUCUUUGUAUUAAGUAGAGAAAAAGUUUAAGACAACACGCCUUACCGGCGCCCUUGGGGUCAGAAGAAUUGUACAUGGACGCUCAGACUCACCCUAGGUAGAUGACACUUGGUGUCUGUUAUUAUCUGAAAUGCGACCAAAAUGCUGACUCCCCUCAUUCCAAAUUAUAAAUCGUUCUAAUUUUUGUAGAUACAUAGUUUUGACUAUGCACCUUGAUAUGUACCUAUCAUUUGGAAUGGAGGAAGUACGUAAUACCAAGCAACUAAUUCUUGUCCUUCAAGGAUUGAGGAGUAAGACGAAAGCGCACUGCCUAUAUUUUUCAUAAAAUUUAGUUUUAUUUCUUUUGUUCACAAUGGAUGCUUCUGGUGACAAAAAAUCCUAAUCAAAGAAAUGGUCAAUGAAAGGAUCAUGUACGUCACCUGAUGUGAUGUGAUGUGAUGUGAUAUGUUGAGCCUUUGAGAUUAAGAUAAGAAAUCAAUCAAGUAGCUUUCGUGACGUUAAGGUCAACAGAUUAUUAAUACUUCGAAACAGCUGCUAUAUAAACUUCAGAGCUGACUCUUUUGUGGUUUCUACUUUUUGAAUACGACCUUGAUGUACCUACCUCUUUCCACUUGAUUUUGUCUAAAAACAUACAGUACCUGUCACCUACCAGCAUUAAAAUACUAAACGGGGGUGGUUCCUGUACCUCUAUCAAAAUUAGCUGCCUUUCGUUUGAAAACAAAAAAAGAAAAGAAAAAGUACCUGCCUUGCGUUACAAACUAAUCCCCAAUUCCCCAUUCUAUAUUUGUUGUUCGGAACUCCGAAGAUAUAAAACUGAAUGAACUGAUUCAGUGACUGUGUUACUAAGAUGCGUUUUACAAAUAUGCAGUAAAAAAACAAUCAAACUGAGAAUUAAAUGCUUACUAUCCACACAUAAUCAGCAAUAGCAUGAUGGCAACCAAUUCAGAACAGACAGAAAACAGGCAGAGCAGCUCUUACCAAAGAGAAUGUGGUCGAGGCUGCCAUUGGGGAAGUAGGGAUAAACGAGCAGGAAAUGGCCGGAGGAAGCACAGCAGCCAAGCAGAGACACCAGGUUGCGGUGCUGCACCUUGAGCAGGAGCCGGACCUCGUUGAGGAACUCGCGCUCGCCUUGCCGUGACCCCAUCGACAGCUUCUUCACAGCGAUCUGCUGCCCGUUCUCCAUCACCCCCUGAAAGGAUCGAGUACAGCACAAGCAGUUUCAGUCUUUGGUAGACGACAGGUUUACACCAUGAGUUUCAUUGUUGGAAAGGAGUUGAGUCCAUUAGUUAUAUAUCAAUAUAUGUUUUCUUUCCCCUGGAAAGAUACAGUAUUAGUAUGUAAAGAAACUGAAUUGCUGAAUGCAUGGCACUCUCAUGGUCAAAACGUAGUGUUUUCUUAACAGGCUACAGUUGGGCGUUGUUGAACAAACCAAUUUCAAUAAAGAAGAUAUGCACAAGGACAAUAGCAGUAGCACAUGCACUGAAUCUGAUCCGUGGCAGUGCAGAAGCGUUGACGCAUUCGGGUCAACGAAAUAUCUUUGCAUUCAUGUGAAAAUUGGCUACACCGUUUGUACUUGUAGUAUGACAAAAACAAGAUGGAACGUUGAAAGUGUGCCCAACUGCCCAUCUUGUUCAUCACUUCAUCAGAAUAGUAAAACAGAGGCGGAAGUAAAUCAACAUCUUCGUGGAGUUAUUACGCUACUCAGUUUCUGAAAAUGCAGUUGUCUGCCUAAGCAGGUACUCCUAACUUCCGACAGAAGCAGAGAGUGAAGAGAAUGAAAUUUUCGGAUGAAAUCUUUUACUUGAUCAAUUACAUACAGUAAGUAUAGUAUUUUUAAAGCAAUCAAUAAUCAAGCGAGAAAAUAAAUCGUGUAAAAAAAAACAGAAGUGAUGUGUGGAGGGAGAGAAGAGAGAGAGAGAGGAGAGAAUAAGUGUGAGGUUUGCCUUGUAGACGGGGCCGAAGCCGCCGCGGCCGAGGAGGUUGUCGUCGGAGAAUCCGCCGGUGGCGGCCUCGAGCACGGGCAGGUCGAUGAAGAGGCUCCACUCGUCCCCCUCCUCGGCGCGGCAACCCGACGCGCCCGCCGUGUCGCCUGCAGCGCCGCCGCCGCCGCUCCUCCUCCUCCCCGCGCAGCACGCGCAGGUCCACGUCCACGACCGCGCCGCGGCCGGCAUCCCCACCGACCUAACAAGCAGAGCCACGCGGGAGGGAGGCAGGGCAGGGCACUCAGCUCUCAGCUGCUCGCGCUCGGCGCGCGAGAGAAGCCGGGGAGAAGGAAACGGGCAGAGGCGGCCGCCGAACACAAGAAACACACCUGAACUGCUCUUGCUCCGCGCCACGACAGGACGCGCGCGCGCGGCGGGGGCGAAGAGUCAGCGGUCCCGCCGGACGGUUGGGUGGCGCGACGCCGACGCGCGAGACGGCGUGGGUGACCAGCGGAUGGCCUUUUUGGUCUCCGGUCCGCGCCACACACACACACACACUCUCUCUCUUUGCCCGUGCGGGUUUUGUAGCGGCUGUCGCGGCCGGCCGGGACCGGGAGUCCAGGUCGUUACGUUACGUGUGCAGCUGGUGAGAGGUGGCCCUCGCGGGACUGGCAUUGUUUAAUUCGUGAAAACAAAAAAAAAAGAUACCGUAGUAUAUUAUAGCAAUUAAUAUUCAAUUAUAAAUUAAUUAAGUUUAAAAUUUUGUCUCGUAAAAUACAAAUAAGCUGUACAAUUAGUUUUCUAAAUUUAUAUUUAAUGUUUCAUAUAUGUGUCUAAAUAUUCAGUGUGAUAAAAUGAAAAGAUUUUACGUAGAAACUAAAUAGGGUCUAAUUUGUUCUCUGUUUAGUGAAAAAGUAACAAGCAAAUAGGGCCGAAAUAUGGAAUUUCGGUCCCACCACAGAAGGAGAACAGCGAUCGUGAUAGGUGGACGUACGUUUUGGUCUGGGUCGUCCCCCGUGGCCGUCGUUCGCUGUCGUCUCACUUUCUUCAAGCGCGUUUCCGGUAGGUGGCGGGGUUUUACCUUAAAACCGAUUUUUCAUCCCAUCAAAUCUUGUCGUACAUGUGUAGAGUAUUAAAUAUAAAUAAAAAUAAAAACUAAUUAUACAAUUUAUUUGUAAAUUAUAAGAUAAUUUUUUAAAUCUAAUUAGUUUAUAAUCAAAUAAUAAUUACUAAAUAAAAAUAAAAAUGCUAUAAUAUCUAAAAUUUUAAAAAAAUGGAACUAAACAAGGUCAUAGCAGAUAGCAGCUGGAACCUGCCGCUGGACAUGGUAGCUAGCUGCUGCAGUGGGCAGUGGAGACCCGGUGCUGGACCUUUGCCUCUUUUGCUCAUCGUCAUGUACUCAUGUACGUACGUGCGCCUGCGCGUAGCGCGUACUCCUACGCCACGACCGGCGUUUGCCGUAUAUUACUGUUCCGCCGUGGCGGCGGCCAUUCCACUGUUGGUUUCCAGCUGUGGAUGGUGCAGCCGAUUGCGGUGUCAGUCUCGAUCGGAGCCUCGGAGGGGACUACUAGUAGUAGUAGUUGGUCGUCGCUUCGCUUGCAAAUGCAACGCAGCCGGUUCCUACUAUUGGUUCCGGUUCCAAUCGUCGUCUCGUCUGCUGAUUCGAUAUGUAUGUUGUAUAGGCGUCCGAUUUUGGACGUCUAACAAUGAAAGCCCGAGUGCGUGUCCGUUUUAGGCUCCACCACCUUUUCUCCUCAGAAUUUUUCUUUUUUUUAACAACAACUUUUUUCCUCAGAGUUGACGCGACCUAGCCGUGUUGCGAUCGAGCUCCCUCAGCCUCAGGUUGUUAGUACAGUGCAAACAACCGGCCGCGGGAGGACGGCCCUGUUCGCAGUUUGCACUGACCGGCCCAUUGCACAUCUAUGCCGGCAAUGGUCUGGUUUUUUAUUUAGUUGGGUCAAUAUUGAAUUGUUUGGUUGGCUGACCAGCCUACUUAGCCAGGCUCUAUAAAGCUAAAAAUGCCCCUUUUAAUCAGGUCCAGAUUGAAUCACCAGGUUAGUGUUUGUUCUGGAGCCAAGCUAAGCUCGGCCUUCUUCCUGUGUCUUCUCACUGCCCCAACUCCGCCCCCGGCCUCACCAUCCCGUCCCUCCUCCGCCACCGCCGCUCUCCUCCACGCGCGCCCCUUUUUCCCGCCGCCACACACGACGCAGGCGGAGUCCGAGCCGGAGGUGGCACUGUCGCCCCCAAACUCCCCCCAACUUCGCCUUCUCCCCCACAUCCCAUGGCGCCCGCCGCGACCGUCACCGGUGUCGAGAACUCCGAGCGUCACCAGUGCCGAGGACUCUGGCUGUCCCAUGGCCGCGGCACCCGAGGACGAUGGAACUGUUGACUACUGCUGCCUCUUGGUGUUGGCGCCUCCACCGCUGCGCCACAGCCGGGUCCGCUCCAGGGAGAUCUCGUUGUCCUAGAGGUUGAUGGACACGCGCGCCUUGCUCGGCGACCGCGCCAGGCUCGCUGUUGACCCAACAAAUGACGGUGACCUCCAUGCUCACCCUGCUCGAGGAAAUGUCUAAAAGAGGGUAAUCCUACCGAUUGAGAAAAGAGGUAACUCUAUCUCAACAAAUCAGAUAACCAAACAUACUCUAAGGCUAGCCGGGCUGAUAUAGUACACACAACCAAACAAGUAAGGAUUGGCUAGUUAGAGACAUGCUUGGACUAGCUAGGCUUAAUUUGGCUAGCCAAGCUUAUCUAGGAAAUAAACCAAACACACUCUAGUUGACUCUGAAGGUUCAAAAUAUGCGGUGCACAUCUAUACCAGGCAACGAGCAACGAUUUUCAUCUGACAUUGUGGUUUGGGUCUGAGUGUCUGACCAUCUGAGAUUACGAUUAGGUAUCAACUCUUGAGUGACAAACAAUAACAAGGGAGGAAGCAGCAAACCAUGUUUAUUGAGCGUGUGAUUGUUAUACUAUAAUUGAAACAAGUCUAAAAUUAUUAUACAUACUUAGUACACUUAAGCCUUGUUUAGUUACACCCAAAAUUCAAAAACUUUUCAAAAUUCUUCAUCACAUCAAAUCUUAUGACACAUGCAUAGAGCAUUAAAUAUAGAUAAGAUAAUAACUAAUUAUGCGGUUUGUUUGUAAUUUACGAGACCAAUCUUUUAAGUUUAGUUAAUUUAUGAUUAAACAAUAAUUAUUAAAUACAAAUAAAAAUGCUAUUUGACCCAAAAAAAAACUAAAUAAAGCCUUAAUAAAUUUUAGGAUCAAUGAAUUUUAAGAGCCUAGUUCCGUCGCACAAUCCACACGGCCCUAUGGACGCCCCUGCAGCCAGUGGCGGAGCGUGGAGUCAAUUAGAGGGGGGGCAGUUAAGCAUUUAAGAUAGUAUUAUAUCCAGUGAAGUAACAUAGUGUGGCUGACACUCUAGCAAAGUUGAGACCUGAGUGUUAGUACUCUACUACGUACUACUUUUGAGAAAGUCUGCAUACAGACAAGCACAAAUACAGACUGAUGCAGCGAUGGGCGCGCAGGAAGAGGGACAAGUGCCCACCUUCGCCUCCACUACCCUCCGCCGGUGCCUGCAGUUGACCUUGAAUUUCCGAUGGGAUGGGUUUCCACGCGUCAAACAUCUGGCUAGGGGCGCACGACCGUACGGUGCGCCCGUCGUCCUGAUCUUUUUUUUCCCGCAGUAGACAGACCCAAAAACAAGUUUCUUCGCAGUUCAAUUAAGAGGAUUAAUUAAAAUUCUCUGAUUAAAAAGAGAGAACGAGGGGAGGUUUGAUCACUUCCAAUUAUUUGGGAGAUGCUAUAUAUAUGAUAUGACUCAAUGUGCCUAGCCAUCUAUCUCUUGGCUGUAUACUACUUCUCAUCAAUAAUUGAUGUGCCUGAAUUAUUCUGAUGAUGAUGCAUGGAUAAUUAUUCAUUGGAGCAGGCCCUUGUCCUGGAAGCUCUUGAUGCAGUCGUCGAACAUCUGGUGCACGGAGAGGAAGGGAGGGAAGCCGAGCGCCUUGACCUUGCUGGUGUCCAUCCUGUGCGGCCUGUCGUCCCCUUUCUGGCUGCUGCUGCACUCCCUGGGGAUCGGGUACUGCGGGUACCGCUCCCUCAGCGACUCCAGAAUCUCCGACCAGUGCGCCGCCACGUCGCAGGAGCAGAUGAGCCGCCCUGACGCCCUGGCGUCCUCCAUGGCCAGCACAUGGCACAGCACCACGUCGUCCACGUGCACGAACCCUAUCGUCGUGUUCGGGUACUUUCCCAGCUCCCCUGCAAUGUGUUCCAGGAGAUCGAGUGCCAUGCAUGAGUAAGCAGUUCCUGCAGAUCAUAGACGACAUCGUCUUCUUCUUGUGCUGUCCUAUCCUGCUGAUCAUAGACAUUAGACGACGACGACCUUUGAGCAUGGCGAGGACGAUGAGUAUGGUGCUGGUCGGCUUGGGCCCCAGCGCCGGUCCGAUGACGAACGACGGGUUCACCACCACCAGGUCGAUGCCGUGCUCCUUGGCCAGCCGCCAUGCCUCCUUCUCCGCCACCGUCUUGGCAUACGCGUACCACAGCUGAUCGAUGACCAAUAAUUCAUGCAUGUCAGUCAGGCCCGACGAUCGAGCUAGCUAGCUGACGACGUCCACAAUAGUAUAUCUGACGACUGACGCGUACGUACGUCGUGCGACUUGCAGUAGUCGGCGUCGGACCAGUGCGACUCGUUGAGCGUGGCGGCGUGGCAGUAGCGGACGCAGGAGCAGGAGGAGGUGAACACCACGCGGCGCGGGCGCUCGUCGGGCGCCGCCGCACGGGCGCACGACCGCAGCACGUUCGCCGCGCCCUUCACGAUCGGCUCCACCAGCGUCUCCUGGACGUCUUUGUUAUCCUUGCCGACGACCACCACGGGGGAGGCCGUGUGGAAGACGCCGUCCACGCCGCUCACGGCGUCGUCGAAGCUCCCCUCCACCAUCAGGUCCGCGCGUACCAGCUGCAGCCGCUCGCCGGCGCCCUCCAGCUCCCACAGAAACCCGACCUUGCCUUCAUCCUCUGUGUACGUGUUCGUUGUGUCCAUGCAUAUGCGUGCGUCAGAACUCGAUCAAGAACUGAUUGGAAACGAAACGACGACCUCUAUCUAGAGCUUGAUGGGACGAUGGGAGGGAGAGGUGGGUGUACCUGGAUCUCUGACCGUGGCACGGACUGAGUGGCCGGCGGCGAGCAGCGCGCGGAUGAGGUGCGCCGCGAUGAAACCCGUGCCACCAGUCACGCAGUACUCUGGCAUCUCUCUCUAGCAAGCUAGUUGUUCUCUUCGAUCUUGUUGUCACACCUCGGUGGGGGCCUACAACAUAUAUAUUCGUACACGAUAGGAGUAUAUAUAUAUAUCCAUGUGUCUGUCAAUCGAUUCGAGGAUAUACGUCGACACCUACGAGAUCUUAUUGUUUUUUGCCCUUCCGUAUAGGAGAAAGAUGAUCCGUUGGCCGGCUCGAUGCAAAAAUGUUAUACUAUGCAAGUUUGGUUCGAAUUAGGUUGGUCAUGGGAAGAAGAGUCAUGUUCGAAUUAGAUUCACCCACACUGCUUGUAGUGGGUGGCCACCUGUUCAUGAAUAUCUGCUCAUUUUCUCCAAAUCACGAGCAGGGAUCGGAGUAGCAGCGAGGGUGUAUGUUAUGGUCCAACCACACAGAAGAACGGGAAUUUGGGAUAGAAGCAAGAACUAGGUGAAAUCGGAAGAAGGCGGCAGAACUCCGCGACCACGAGGACGCGUUCAAUAGAUUUCAGAGUCUGUUACAGGUUCGUUACAUGCCGUUCCGUGCUUCCGUUCUGGCUUCCCGGACUGUUCGCUCAAAAAUUACGACUGAAAGUAGAAAAACACUGUCAGAUAAGCUUAAACGAACAGCCUCUUUAACCGCGUUGCGGUCGCAGGCCUUUCCUGACCAGACGCACACUUAGGUCUUGUUUAGUUUCAAUUUUUUUGAAAAAUAAAUAAUAUAAUAUUUUCGUUUGUAUGUGACAAAUAUUGUCUAAUUAUAGACUAACUAGGUUUAAAAGAUUCAUCUCGCAAAUUACAGAUAAAUUGUGUAAUUAGUUUUUGUUUUUAUCUAUAUUUAAUGCUCUAUGCAUGUGUCUAAAAAUUUUAUGUGAUAGAAAAUCUUCAAAAAUUUUGAGUUUUGGAGAAAAACUAAACAAGGCCUUACUACACAGCCCAGGCCCAACACAAGACAGGGCUCAUGUCAGAAGGUCAUAUAACAGGCCGGGUAAGCUGUAGUAGGUUCAACGACCGAGGAAGCUGGUGCUGGUCCUGCCGAGCUCAGCAGGCGCUGCCUGCGUCGGAGACACAGUCGUCGUCGGCAACAACCUCUUCUUCAACCUUGCCGUUGAAGGGAGGAGGACGGUCGGGAUGCUUGGCCUUGGCAUCAGGGAGUCCCACUUUGCAUGCGUUCCGCGGACGCCGACGCCGACGCCACUGCUGAUCAUCAUCAGGUAGCAAGUGAAAUGUAGUUGUACGAUGCUUUUCAGGAUCUAGGCCGGUGCACUUUAGCUUGCUCCUCAUCCGCCUGUUCCAGUAGCUUUCGACCUCUUUGGCUGUCCUUCCUGGUAACCUACCAGCAAUGAGUGACCAACUGCAUGUAAAUACACCGAUCUAUUAAUUAGCAAGUGCAGUCGAUAACAUGUCAGGAACACGAAGAACUAUCUACUACUCAUAUAUAUCCGCUAAUUUUUUCAGGCUUUGAGACAAACUACACAGUACCUAAUAAGUAAGAUUCACUUCACCUACCGGUUCCCAAGCAAAGUGUGCAGCUUAAUUAGGAGAUCUUCCUCUUCCUCGCAGAAGCAGUUGUUCUUGCUCCGAACAAGGGGCCCUACUAGAUGGAUCGGAGUCGGAGAGAACAGAGAAAAUUAAUGAGAAAUGCAUGGAUGUGUUAUAUACCUAUCUGAGUGUCUGGUUUGUACCACAUCACGCGACAUUAUGAAUAGUCCAUGUAAGUAUAUACCUGCAGUGUUAGCCGGCCGCUGUGACGACGACGGACGGGAGUUACCCAACUGCAGCCCCGAGAGCCCCCAGCGCCGCUGUUUCAUCCGGUUCACCGGCAUGACGGGCUGACAGCUAGCGUGCGAUUCUUCCAGUUGUUACGGUAAGCACUAACAAGAUUAAUUAACAUGUGUGUGUGCGCCUCCGAUCGAGAUGAGGUGUAGUAGUUAUUUAUAUAUAGGAAUAGGAAUGCAAGCAAACGCAGGGCUUCCCUUUUGACUGGAAGGAAGGGACCGGCUGGUUUGUGUGGUUGGUCGUACUUCGAUCGGCAAACUGAUGAGCAAGGUAGGCGGCCAGGCGCAGCGCAGGUAAGGACGACCGCGCGGUGGCUAGCUACGUUCUCAGCUAAUUUGUUAGUUGCAUGCAUGCGCGCGUGGGUACCAUACACGUGCGCGCGUGUGUGGGUAUAAGUGUAUAAACCUAGCGCUCUCCGUCAGAGUUGCUACGCUGGCAUGCUGCUAUGCUCCGCCUACCAGCUUCCGGGCCUUGUUUAGUUCGCCAUUUUUUUUUGAUUUUGACUACCGUAGCACUUUUAUUUAUAUUUAAUAAUUAUUAUUAAAUCAUGAAUUAAUUAGGUUUAAAAAAUUCAUUUCGUAAAUUAUAAGUAAGCUGUAUAAUUAGUUCUUAUUUUCAUCUAUAUUUAAUGUUUUAUGCAGGCGUUCAAAGAAUUGAUAUAACAAGAAAUUUUGAAAUUUUUUGAGAACUAAACUAGACCUUAGUCAGAAAGGCCGGCCUUAUGCAGUACCCGUUUAGUGUCCACAUAUAUAAAAGAUUUUUUCAACAUUUGUUGUGUUUUCAUAGAUGUUGAAGACAGUAAAAAUUCAUUCAGAAACAAAUAUAAAAUUCGAAAAAUUCCUUUUUUUUCUCUUGUCUUCUUCCUUUUUUAUGCAUGGGCCUCUUCCUGGUGGGCCUCAAAACCAGCCCGGGUUGAAUCCAGGGGCAUGGCCCCAGUGGGCCGAAGCCGGAUCAUGGUGGGCCUUUCUUUUCUUUUCUUUUCGUUUUUCCUUUUUCUAGCAGAACAAUGAUCUUCUAUAAUCCAUAGAAAAUCACAAAAAUAUCAUGAAAGAAGCUAGAGUCAGGAUUUUAUUUUAGAUCAAAUAUAAACUAUGUGUGAAAUGGUCUUGUGUUGAGUUCGAGCGGGGCUUGAAUUCAACUGAUCUCUUAGUUAUUUGAAAAAAAAAUUGUUUAAGAAAAUUUCCUUUACUCAUCUUUUAAUUAUUCGAAAAAAAUGUGUUGAGCUCGUGGACAAGGCCCUAUGUCAUGUUAGAUUUAAUUUAUAAAAUAAUUUUGUCCACCUCAAAUAAUUAUUCAUUAGUGCUAAUUAAUCUUAAAAAAAAUUAAAUUAUUAAAAAAAGAAUUAGGUUGCUACAUUUGGUUCAAAAAACAAGACAUAACAUAAUCAAUCACUAUUAAAAAGCAGAGAAGAGGCUGGGUUCGCCCAUGGAAAGGAAUAUGCAUAGUGGUGCUAGAAGUGAAAAGGAGGCGUGAAGCGGAAGGGCCUGCAGCGGAGGCUUGUUUGCUGGUUACAAGGGAAAUAUGAUUUUUUUUCUUUUUCCCUUUUAUAGGAACAAAGGAAAGGGUAUAAAGAAGAGGUUAAACUCCAAAUAUGAUUGAAACAAAACUUCUAAUAACUCCGACCAAAGCUUCAAAUAAUAGCCAAAAAUUCAAGCACUCAUGCAUAUAAAAUAAAAAAAAGUGCAUCAAAUUAAUUAGGAAAUAUGCCUUUGAAAGGGAUGUGGGAAGGUUUCAGUUUUACUAAGAGAAUACGAAUGGUACGCAAGAGGCGAUUGCACGUUAAAUUUGAGCAUGGUGCGAAUUCAACCAACAUUUAGUUUAUUUAGGAAAUGGUUUUGUAUGGAAGACUUCUCAACCCAGUUUUCCCACAACGGCCUGCCGCCGCAUCACCUAUCCUACCGCUUUGUCUACUUUAAGAUUCGCACCAGUGAAUCCGCCUCCUUUCCCCCAUCCUUUCCUAAAUGUUAUCAUGCAUUCCCAUCGUCCUUCCCUUUACUCGGUUUGAAACGUUCCAUUCCCACCCAUUACCUUCUACCUUCCCAGCUUUCUCCUACCUUGGUUUCUUCUUUCUCCGUGACUUUUUUUUACUUUGACUCUUGUUCUCUCUCAUCUCUCAUGUGUACACUUUUUUUACUGCCUGCAACCAGAUUAUACUGCCGCAUAAUCCUGACACUUUGUUUUUUUUUACUAAAAAUACUUAUUCACCAUGAAUUUUGAAUUUCUUCUUUGAAUCUUUUAAUAUAUUAAUUACCUUUUUCAAGCUAUUGUUUUUUAAUCAACUAGUUCAAUAAUAAAAUUAUGUAAAAUCAAUUAUUUUCACUUUGUACAAUCGGUAAAAUUAAUUGUUUCCACUUUACAAAUUUAUGUAGUAUUUUUUUUUCACUUUGUACAAUCUGUACAAUCAAUUGUUUCCAGAAGAUAAAAUCAAUUGUUUGCAGAUAUUAAACACACAACAAUCUAAACUGAUCAUUGAAUUGAGUUUCUAAAUCGCUGGAGACAUUAAGUAUAUUUAAUCUUUAAUUUGCUCUUUCGGAUCAAUGUCACAUGUUCUUAUUUAUAAUAACAUUUUGCAGUAGAAGCCUACAAUGCAUUGCCGGUAAUGUCGUGUUAGUAUUAAACAUGAUAAGGCCUUGUUUAGUUCCACCUAAAACUAAUUUUUUUUAAGAUUCUUCGUCACAUCGAAUCUUACGGUAUAUGCAUUGAGCAUUAAAUAUAGAUUAAAAAACUAAUUACAUAGUUUACCUAUCAUUUGCAAGAUAAAUCUUUUGAGUCUAGUUAGUUUAUGGUUGGACAAAAAUUAUACAAACAAAAGUGCUACAAUGUCUAAAAUUUUUUCACGCUGGGAACAAAACAAGGCCUAACUUUUGUACUGUUCUUCUUUGAGUUAUUUUUUUAAAAAAAAUUAGGUUUGGUUAGCACUUUCAUUUAUACUUAGUAAUUAUUAUUUAACUAUGAACUAAUUAAGUUUAAAAGAUUUAUCUCGUAAAUUAUACAUAAACUAUAUAACUAGUUAUUUUUUUAUUUAUAUUUAAUACUCUAGCCCUUUCUUCUUCUGUAACAUCAUUCAGCUGUACAGUGCAGUACUGUAGCAGUACUGUAGCCAUACUUUCGGGCCUUGUUUAGUUCACUAAAUUUUUGGAUUUGACUAAUGUAGCAUUUUCGUUUGUAUUUUAUAAUUAUUGUCCAAUUAUGAACUAAACUAGACUUAAAAAAAUUCGUUCGACAAAUUAUAGGUAAACUGUGCAAUUAGAUUUUAUUUUCAUCUACAUUUAAAACUUCAUGCAUGCGUUCAAAGAUUCGAUAUGAUGAAAAAUCUUAAAAAUUUUUCGAACUAAAUCAGGCCUCAGUCAGAAAGGCUGGCCUUGUAUGUAGUACCCGUUUAGUGUCCACAUAUAUAAAAGGUUUUUUUCAACAUUUGUUGUGUUUUCAUAGCUGCUGAAGACAGUAAAAGUUCAUUCAGAAACAAAUAUAAAAAUUCGAAAACUUCCUUUUUUUUCUUUUUUUAUGCAUGGGCCUCUUCCUGGUGGGCCUCAAAUCCAUCCUGGGCUGAAUCAGGGGCAUGGGCCGAGUGGGCUGAAGCUGCCCACAAUGGGCCUUUUUUUCUUUUCGUUUCGUUUUUCCUUUUUCUAGCAAAAAAAUGAUAGAAGCUAGAGUCAAGAUUUUAUUUUAGAUCAAAUAUAAAAUAUGUGUGAAAUGGUCUUGUUUUGAGUUCGAGCAGGGUUUGAAUUCAACUUAUCUUUUAAUUAUCCAAAAAAAUUUGUCCUCACUGGUGCAAGAGCGGGUGCAGGCGCUUGGGCACAACUGCGCGUGGGUGGGAGAGGCCAAUGGCCAUGGGGCUGUGAUAGAGGCGUGGAUGCGUAUGGUCGUCGAAGGAGGCGCUCGUGGGCAAGGCCCUAUGUCAUGUUAGAUUUAAUUUAUAACAUAUUUUUGUCUACCUCAAAAAUAACUCGUCUCCUCGAGCUGCAGCUGUUGUCGAUCGUCACGCAUCGUGCUCUCCUUUCUUGCUCUUUUGGUUAUCUGAUAAGGGAAUUUACAAUGCGAACUAUAUCAUAGAGUCUAAAAUUAUUUAUUACCUCGAACAAUAUGGACUUAAAGUCUAAAUAAAACUUAGAGUCUUAUUUUUUACCUCUUUAUUCAAUGAAUGUGCUGCCACAUCAGCAAAAUACCAUAAAUAAUAUAUAAUUAAUUAUCUUGGACUCUGUGAUAGAGUCUUGCAUUGUGAGUGCCCUAACUACACAGAAAAAAAGAUGGGCUCUAAGCUCCCGAGCCUUGCGCCGGCAGCCAUCCUAGCCCCGAUGACCAAGAUCGAUCACCUCGAAUCUCACACCCAAGUCCUUGAGAGCUUCAUCAAGUGCCUUCCUAGAGCUCUGCCUCUCAUGGAGCUCCCGGGCCUCGACUUCAGCCCUAGUUGGACUACUGAACUUAAGCUUUGGCGCUCAUUUGGGCUCCCGGUUUCUUCAUCGAGUGUCUCUCCAUGUUUUUUUUUCUAGUGGUGUCUUUCGGUCGUUGCCUAUUUUGAAUUUGUCCUGUCUCUGUUGGCUUAUUGAUUCAAGCCACCAUUAGAGGCUUGGGUUCUGAGUUUCAUGUUUCUGCUUUGACGGAUCAGGUUUUCCAAUUUUUGGCCUCCUCAAAUCUGGCUGAGCAUUUCAUGUACAAGCUUCAUUCUUUUGAAUGCCAUCAAUACAAGCUCUGCUUCCAUCUGUGGAACAAUGGAGGUCCAAACUGGCUGCUUGAAUGAAGUUUCUUUUGGAAGACGAAUCCUUGAGGCAACCCCCUCAUAAAACAAGGGGCAAUCUCACUGAUAAAGUUGAUCUCAACAAGCCGCCGCUUUCAGGAGCUAAUGUUGUGCCUGCUAGAAAUUCUACAUUUAAUCAUUUGCAGUUUCCGACAGAGACAAGAAAUAAGUUUUGAUCGUUUAGAGUUUCCCAAGCAAUCUCAACAAUUUCAUGCACAACAGCACCUCAAUGUCCCUCAACCUUCUAGUUCUGUUCCUGGUCAUGUUGAUGGAGGAACGAAGACUAAUAGGUGGGGCAACAAGUUUAUUCCUUCCCAUUUGAAUUUUGGACAGAGGUCAAACCUUAGGACAACGUAUCCUUUGUCGAUGACACAACCUGAUUUGCUCCCGAUGUCUAGCCAAUACACAUUCAAGGGAAGCAUGUCGAGCCCCCAUUAAGUGCUGAGCAUGCCUACGUUGGGGACAUGUCCAAGUCAACUGCCCAGUUAAACAACAACAGGUGAGUAAGUUGGCUUCAAUUACCAGAGCAAUUAAAGAAAAAGAGAUUCUCAAAUAGCCCAUCACCUUCAAUGACCCUACUGGACGUGGCCCGAGUAAAAUGCCUCGCUUCUCCUAUUUUUUGGAUUGGGUCGCCUCACAUUUACACCUUGUGACUCCUCCACCUAUGCAGAAAACGAUCCCUUGGGUUCUUCCGAGCAAGUCUAUGACGAGUGGCCCUGCUGCCUGCUUGACCCAUCUAACAAGGAAGGAUGUUAAUAUUACGGGUUUACUGAACCUAACCCUUGGCCCUUCUUCUUCCCUCAGCACCCAACAUUUUUCAUUGUGGUCUUCUGCUUAUCAAGUUAACCCCAAUCACCCGCCAUUGCCUUGCCACUUUUGAGCCAAAGUCCUCAUGACUCCACACAAAUGGUAUUCCAACAUGUUGAUCCCAUGCCUUUUCUUCCUCAACGGAUGAACCUGAUCAACGUGGAACACCGUGGGUUCAUGGUUCAUGCUAUGGCGGGAACAAGGCCGAGUCCAAGGCAUGAAGAUUGGGCGAUUGCCACCAUUCAGCCUCUCUUGGGUAACAUUAUUACCUUUCAAGCAGUUAGAGAGGUACUAGAUGACUUCUUCACGGAUGUAGCUAGGGUUCAAAUUUGCUCCAUUAAGCCUAGUUACCUUGGACAAGCACUAGUUCAGUUUGCAAGAAUCCCCAUCAGAGAUAGCUUAGUGCUGAAUAGUCCGCACCAGUUUGGGGGACAUUUCCAUUUCUUUUGUUCGUCACAAUUAGGGUUGCAACUAGAGAAGGAUAUAGUUCAAUACAGAGGUUUGGUUGAUGCUUUUAGGACUCCCCUUUAACUACUGGGAAGAAUAAUACAUUGAUACCACUAUUAGGCCCUUUGGGAGAAUGAUAUCAUGGGACAAGGAUCUAGACAAUAGGAGUAGGCUUUUGCUGAAGGCAAGAGUGGUGGACCUUGAAUCUAUUCCACAUUUUGUAGUUUUUUUGACACAAAGGCCAUGGAUAGCGACCCAUGGAUAGUUUAGGUUUUCAGCAAGAGUUGCUUGGAGGAGGAUCACCUGAUUAGAAUCCAAUCCCAUAGAAUGUCGAAAACUUUGGUUAGGCACCUUUUGCCAUCUUUGGGCUUGGUCAACAGGGGCUAGGGCUAGUUCAAAACAACCAAGCUCAGAAUCAGGGGGCCACAAGCUCCGCACACAAAUGUAUGCAAUAAACAAGUGGUGCAUGUAGGCAUCUAAUAGGGGAGAUAAUUGGAUUUCAGUUCGUAUUCGACAACAUCACUACUUCCAUGGAGAUGACCUCAUAUACGUCCAGUUCGAAGAAUUGCACCAAUUAUGUCACCUCGACGCUCUCGACAAAUCUCUCGUCAGCUGCUUUUGUCUGUAAGUAUUUCUUUAUUUUUUAUUAAACUUCUACCUUCUUUAAUUAUAUGUAUAUAAUCCUUACUCAUUUAAGAUUUGUAUGUAUACAUGCAGGCACCAAAUGAGAGAGCUCAGAAGCAAAAAUGACAAUAGUAUUGGGUUCGUUGACCCCUAUAUUGUUUUCAAGGCUCCACAGGAAGUGUGGAUACCAACUUAUGAGACUGAAGUCUGCACCAAUUUUAUGAGGUUCUUCGUGAACCAAAAAGAAAAACAAAAAAUACUCUUCCCCUACAACUUCGAGUGAGUUAUAUAGUUAUUAAGUGCAUGCACAUUUUAUUUUAUUUAUUAUUACUCGAUCUGGGUUUUAUAUAGUUAUAGGCCUGACUAUAUAUAUGUGUGUAAACAACUUUCACUGGAUACUCAUGGUCAUUAAAAUUUCUAAGAACCAGUUGAUAAUCUAUGACUUACUGAGAAAACCGCAAAAAAAUUACCAACAAAUGGUAAACAUUAUUCAAAGGUAUGUAAUGUUGAUCUUAGCUAGAAGAAUAUCAUGAUGUAACUCUGCAAUUAUUAAUUGACGAUCCACAAUGGUUGUGUGUAGGGUUUGAGAAAGAUCUAUUGACCAUGAACAUCUCAUUGGUUGUAAGGCCGCUUGAUAUAAUCCAUCCAUAAGUAAGUUGUACUAGCUAGCAAACUUUCACAAACUUUUAGCUUUCUUAUUGUCGUGGUCGUGAAUGUUUUUUAUACAUCGUACAAUGGUGUUUAAGACAAGAAGGGGAGAAUAACCUAUGUGGAUAUUACGUCUGUAAAUUCUUUAUGGUACACAUCAAUCAAACACCCACAGAGACUCUCAGAGUACGUUACAUCUCUUUUCAUUAUCUCCUGAAUUAUAUUGAAUAACUUAGAUAAUUAAUACCUUUUUUCUUUUAUUUCAAAUUGAAGAUGGAAUGAUUGAGGAAAAAGGUAAUGCAAAGCUAUUCAAGAGGCGGUAGGAGGAUUCCUCCACGAUCAAGUGAUCAAUCCAAACGGCGAGUUUCACUUCAACGGCAAUGAAACUUUUAUUCCAAACAACGAUGAUCAUUUGUAUCGGCUCUAGAGAUUCAGAGAAGAAAACUCUAUGUAUAUAUAUGUUAGGAAUUUUAUACUUAUAAAACUAUAUAUAAAACCUCUUUAACACCGGUUAGUUAUACCAACCGGUGUUAAGGGGUCUUGCUACGUCGCAGCCCUUGCAGGACCCUUUAACAUUGGUCGGUAUAACCAACCGGUUUUAAAGGGGGCUUUAGCCCUGGUACCCUGAACCGGGACUAAAGAGUUGUCGGUGUUUUUCCUCCGGGGGGUCACACCAACGAGUAAAUUUGUAUGCGUGCUUCCCCUUUCCGGAUGGUGAUGCAAGAAGACAAGAAGAUUUAUCCUGGUUCGGGCAAGAGAAGGCCCUACGUCCAGCGGGGGGAGAGAGUUUGUAUUAUCUUGCACCUAAGUGCUUGUACAGGGGCGAAUACAAGCGUGGUAUGAAGUGCGUAGCUCUACUACGUGUGUGUUCCCUCGUUCUAUUCCUGAGUCCCUCCUUUUAUAGCUCCAAGGAGAGACACAGGGUACAUACAUAGGUGUUAGGGUAGGGAUCGAUAGCCGCAUGGAACGCUGACCUACUCGCGGCUUCCGUACGGCGUGGCCUCGAGCCGUCCCAUCUUGAUAGCUUGGUGAUGAUCACGCGUGCUCCUGCGUUCUGCCCUGCCAGCCGCCUUGUGCCAGUCCCGAGGUCGCAUGCUUGUAUGGUAUGGUGCCGUUCCCGACAGCGUAGCUGUGAUGAAGUUAGUCGACGCCCAAUUCGUUCCUGGGUAGGGGCCCUGUUCUGUCGAGGGUCGGAUGCCGUGUAGUAUGCUGGUAUUUGGAGCGCUGACCUUGGAUAUCUCGAGGAGGUCCCGAUUAGACGUUCCAUCCUUGUUUCUCGCGUCCUGACACGCCUGGGUCGUUCGGUGGGAAAGCUGCAAAAAGAACGAUGGGACGGAAGCUUGCUCCCUAUCACACAUCCCAUGACCUGUGUGUUAGGUGGGAGGCGUCAGGUGCAUUUAAUGCUCCAGCCCGCGUGCGCGCGUCAGGCGGCGGACAGUGUCCUAACGCUCGACGUAUCUCGGUUCGCUCGAGCCUGCUUCCGUCUUCGACGGUAGUCGUCGCUCGAGCCCUGACCGAUUCGCUCGACGCUAUUUCCGUAUUCGAGGCUGCGACCGUCGUUGGCGGCGCGUAAGUAAGGUUAAGGCGUCGAAUUGGGAGUCCCAACCUUCGUACAGGCAAUCUCGUAAUGCGCAUCGCUGAGGGUACCCCGUACUAAUACCCUCGACAGUAGCCCCCGAGCCUUCGUUCGAGCGCUUGCGCUCGAAUGGAGGUUUUGAUUUACGGUCGAAUUUCCGUGAGGGCGCGCGAGCGACCCCGCGGGGUAGCCCCCGAGACCUCGGAGGAGUUUUUGACUCCUUCGAGGGUUACGUUAUCUAAUUCGCAGAAAUGCUUUCGACACCAGUGGUGGAAGAUUCUGACCGGCUCAUUUUCUGCCCGUGGGUUUCGACGUACUCUCGAUAGAGCGAGCGUCUUUCAUCCCGAAUUGAGUUCCUAGCGGGUUGUCCAAGUGAGAACCUGUGCCCCUUUCGAGGGGGGUCAGCUGUAGCCCGGAGGCGCCCUCAUAAAGCGGGGUCGACGUGGUCGGGGAUACUGGUCUCAUUCGAUAGAGUCCAGUGGCUCGAUGCCUCCCUUCGGCGGGAUUCCUCUCGACUGUCUCGAUCCUACCCUGAACAUCGCCAGCGAGCCCUCGAGGCGGGCCUCGAUUCUCGACCGCUCGCUGGGGAUCCCUGACUCUGGCGCUCGAGAUCGGCUGUCGAACCCUUUCGGCGGGCCAGCCAUCGACCUCUCGAGACUUUUGCGGUUAUGUCCCCUGGCUUACGAGGGAAGGAAACGGUCGUGGCGAUUCGCAUUUCUGCCCGUUGGGCGCGUCUUUUUAGGCGGAUGACGUUGCGACACCGUAUCGGCGAGGAAUUCGGAGAGUCCGGCCUGUGAGGAGAGAGAGAGAGAGAUGUCAGACGGCGCAUUUAUGGGGGAGUUACCUUACUUCUCGGAUCUGUCCGUUGGCGGUCAGCUGGCUAUAAAUAUGUCGUCGCGUCACCGCCGUUCCUCUCCCUUCCGCCUUCUCGAUCUCGUUCUUUCGCUGCUUUUGCUUUCUCGUCAUCUCACGCGCACACGCCCCCUCGAGCCGCAGCGAACCCACCAUCCCGUUAGCCAAGAUGCCCGUAAGACUCGUCGCCGCCGAUGACUGGCGCCCGUCGUCGAUGACGGAGCGCCGUCUGUUAGAGCUUGAGAAGGAGGGACUGCUGCGCCGCCGCACCUCGCCGUCGUCGCCAGAGUGGAUCGCGCCGCCAGCGAGCCACAGGGCGCCUCAGCCACCCGAAGGCUACGUGGUGUCGUUCGCCAAGUUCCACCGCCAUGGUCUGGGCGCGCCUCCAAGCCGCUUCAUGCGGGCCCUUUGCUCCCAUUACGGGGUGGAGCUGCAGCACUUCUCCCCGAAUGCCAUCACCGUGGCGGCGAUCUUCGCCGCCGUGUGUGAGGGCUUCCUAGGGAUGAUGCCGCACUGGGAGCUGUGGCUCCACCUCUACAGGGGCGAGCUAUUCCAUGCCUCCACCGGAACCACGGGCGUGAGGAAACCCGUGCGAGCGGGUUGCCUCAACCUGGUGCAGAAGACGGGGAAGACGGACCGGCCGCGGGAGUACAUCCCGGUAGGGUUGUCGACCAACCAUGCCGGUUGGGAUUCUCAAUGGUUCUACCUGCGCAACGACGACAACCUCCUACCUCCCUAUUCGGGCCGUCUGAUCUUGGAGCGCCCAGCGGACUGGACGUACGGCGUCGUCCAAGCUCAUCAGGCUCGGCUCGACCCUCUCCUCGACGCCCUGAAGAAGCUUCGCCAGGAAGGUUUGACCGCCGCCCUCGUCCUCUCGGCGGUCCAUCAUCGGAGAGUUCUUCCUCUGAUGUCACGACCGCUGAGGAUGGACGAGAUGGGCCCCGGCGUCUCGUCUCGGGACCUCGAGGCAUGUCGGAUGUCCAGCGAGCCUCCGACGGAUGAUGAAGUCGCGGCCCGAGUCAGGGCCGCAAUCGCCGGUGAUUUCAAGCCGGAACAUGUCAACGGCUUCCCCAUGCGACCCGACGCGGGCUCGAUCGAUCUGGUACGCUUUCUUCUUGCGCGCACCCUCGAUUCUAGGUUUUGCCCCCUCCCCUCUCUUUUUUUUUUUUUUUUUUUUUUAAGUCUACCUUAGUUUUGGCAGGGCCGGAUUGACGUUCGGUCCUCGAGGCCUCCAGUAAAGGAGGACGAGGUCGAUCGCGACAAACGACGCCAAUCCGCCGAGAAGUCGAAGUCUGCCAAGGACUCCGCGAAAAAGGGGGAGAAGAAGAAGAAUCUCGAGCGCCAAGCAUUGGAGGCGCGUCGAGCCAAAUCCAGGCAGAGGGGGGAGCCUGAGGAAGAAUCCCCCAAUGAUGAUGACGACGACGACGAGAGUAGUGACGACUCCGAGGGGAUGGCGUCGCGUCUCGAUCGGCUCCUCGAGGGCCCCCCUCGAGAUGACGUCGAUACCCCCCGGACGGAGGUGUCGGAAGAGGGUCCGAGCGGGUCUCGUCGUCCCCGGCCCGACGCUCCUUCCGCGCUCAAGGCGGGCCGGGACGCACCGCGCCCUCCCCUGGCGCCCAAGGAGAGCGGUCCGGCAAGAUCCCAGGCGUCGAGGCCGCUGACCCGCGGUCGCG